RNAcentral lists this long non-coding RNA (54354 nucleotides) under Nicotiana tabacum (common tobacco). RNAcentral's name for it is "long non-coding RNA (NTAB_LNC005261)". Lineage: Eukaryota; Viridiplantae; Streptophyta; Magnoliopsida; Solanales; Solanaceae. The record is from RNAcentral.
AAAUCUGAACCUAUGAAAUAACCAUUGAAAUUAAUUUAAACUAUUUGGAUCAAAUACAUACUUGAUUGCAACCUUUCAUGCAAACUACCAAGCUAAUCUUACACAAAUCCACCAUAUAAUCGGAGAAGAACCCGAAAAUUCCUUUCCGAAAAGUAUCCAGAUGUUACUAAAAUUCUCCAUGAAUUUCCAUACAUACUCGGCAAAAAAAAACAUAAACCAUAAAACAUGUAUUAUUACAUUCAAAACAAAGAAAGAAUGAGAAAUGAAAGAAGCUAAGUAGCUUCAACAGAAUAAGAAAGUUAGACUUCAAGUUCAAACAUUCUUUAUUGAUCUCAGUAGAAACGAAUACCUUCCACACAUUUAAACAUAAUUUGUCAGCUUAGAUUCGAAGGGGUACUUGGAAAUUGAAGGAAAAAGAGGAAGCAGCAGACAACAACAGAAAUCAGCUUGGAAACCAACUGAUGUAACAGUAUUCCAUGCAGCAGCUCAAAGCCAACUUUUAAAAUCUUAGAACUCAAACCAUUUUUAACUCAAAUGCAGAAUUUUACAGUUUUUCAAGAGUUCUAGAUACGAAGAAAAUCAGAAAUCCCAGGCCAGACAGAAUUUAAACAGUUUUUGCAGAAAAGUGCCAGGGAAUUCAAAGGAUUUUUUAGAGUUUUAAUCCCUUCAAUUUUCAGCAGUUUUUUGAUCUCCCCCCUCUGCCUUGUUGGUGAAGAAACAAUGCCUUUAUAGGCAAGGUAUUAGGGCUGCAGAGAUUGAACUAAGUUUGCCCUUAGGACCUUUUCUAAUUUUCAUUUUUGCUUUGAAAACCCUCUUCAAUUUUGGUUUUUGCUCAAGUACCCUUAAUUUUAAAAUCAGAAUUUCAGAAUAGUCCCCCUCCCUCUUCUUAGAAGCUUCUCAAAUCAGUUACUAAUGAUUCCUUUACCCAAAUUCCUAAAUUAACCCUUAAAAAUUCUGUAUUUACUUCAGAAAAAUCACAUGUCAAAUUACCCCAAGUCCCAGCCCAAACCCAUGGGUCUGUAUACUCACAGCCCAAACUCAACAAACUUCAGACCAUUAAGCAAUGAAGCUCAAAUGAACAAGGCUGUUUAUGUCAUUAAAUGAGUUUCAGAGAACUUAAAUGAUUCAAGAAAAAACAUAGCAACAACUGGGAAUUUAUGAACCAAAUGAAUGAAUCAAACAAAAAUAAUGAACAAACGACUUAAGAGAAUUCGACCCCAAUUAUAAUCUCAAAUGAACUAUCGACCGGGGUCAGAAAAGAAAGGAAAAAUGACACAACGGAAGAGAAACACGUACUAACUAACAGAGAGGCAUCUCUGAACAGACUUGCUGGCAUUGGUCUUGCAUGAGGACGAUGGGCUUCGAAACGAAUCGAAGUCCAUGCUAGUCACUCGUUCUCGAGGAGAAAAGUCGACUGGCAUCAAAUUCGAACUAUUAUCGGCCCAAAAGCUUGAACUUGACAAGGAGAGCAAGAUUAGGGUUCAUGGGACUUGAGUCUUUGAUCUCAAAUUCGACGAGCUAGGCUAUGAUUCGAGGGUAAAGGGUUGGAGAUUUGGGAUGGGGAAACGGAAAGGGUUCUAGAGUGUGAAUUUUGGCCAAUUAAGUGGUGACGCCGCCACCGGAGGAUGGUGGAAUCAUGGGGUGAUGCUAGGGUUGGCAUGGAGUUCUUUGAAGAUGAAAUGAAUGAGAGACACGGGUUUGGGGGGUAAUGUUCAGACAUAUAUAUUUGGGUAGGGUGAGGAGUUCCGGUCCGUUGGAUCUAAUUGAUCCAACGGUUGAUACAGAGGGGUUCCUGAACGGCGUCGCUUAAUUGGGAAGUGGGGCUGGACCGGGCUGGGGCAUGGGUUUGGGCUGGGUUAAGCUGGUACUGGUAGAAAAUCGUUUGGGCUGUUACAAGUUUGGCCCGAAUACAGUCUUUCUUAUUUCCUUUUAUUUUCAUUUCUUUUUUUUUCUAAUUUCUUUAAAAUUAAAACUAAAAAUAAAAACAUAAAUUAAUUCCUACAUCAAAUUAUCCUACCACAUUGAAUUAAUUAACUCUGACUAACAAUUACCACAAAUAAUUAAAAACCAAAUUUAAAGGGAAAACUACCAAAAUUUCAAAAUUAAAAUUAAAAAGUGCAAAAGGAAACUAUUUUUUGUUAUUUUUCCAUUUUUAUAAAACAACUAAUUUGCUACUUAGUGUAACAAAUGUAAAAUUAAAUCCUAAAUGCAAAUACAACAUAUUUUUGUAUUUUUCAUGAAUUAGAUAAAAUAAACGUGCAUAGACAAAUGCAAACAGUCGACAAAAAUGCCAUAAAAAUCUACGAAAUUGCAAAUAGUAGGAAAAAUUUAUUUUUCUUGAAUUUAUGGGUGUAAUUCACGUAUGGAAAAAAUCACGUGCUCACACCGACUUGCAUCAAGAGUUCGUCACUUGUCUGUUCUUGGCUACUCCUGUGUGAUUUCGAGCAAAAUCAUGAUGUAUUUGUUACGAUCCUUGGGAUUCUAGACAGGUUAUUUCAUCUCUAUAUGAGUUUCUUUUGAAACCCUAAUUUCUUCCUAUAUCUCCUAGAUCUGCACAGAUCUAGGAUGAUUUGGGUUUGUUUCUUUAAUAUUUUACACUAUCCUUGGAACUCUUUACAAGAAUCAUUGAUUUCAAGUGUUUUUCACCUUCUUCUAAAAAUUAGGGUUUCUAAACUUAUUUUAAAACUUUGUUUAACUGAUUCUUUGUGUUUAAACUUCUAUUUCUUACAUAUUUUUGACUGAUUCUAUGAUUUUACUACCUCUUCAACUCGUCUAUGUUGAAAGCCCUAAUUUUCUAGGUUUCUUCGUUUGAUUCUAUGUAUCAACAUGACUGACCGGUUCUUGUUUGGGUUUCUAUGACUAUCUUGCCUCGAAUAUGUUCCUACUGAGUUUUUUAGCCUAACUUAUAUCAACUCUAUGUGCUUGUGUUCAUCUUGACUAUUCAAGACUUGCCUCUUUCUAUCAGUGUUGUUUAACCUUCAUGUUUGCUAUGUCUGGUUAUUCUUAUCUUAUUCUAUUUAUAUGCUAAACACUGACUCAUGACUUUCUCUUUGAUUGAUUUUGGAUUCCCUAUUUCAUGGUUUAAUUGGAAGACCUUCCUUUAAACAUUUGAUUCCUACCCUUUCUAUUCAAAUUGAUUGAUUCGCCUACCUUGACUGCAUUGGUACCUUAUUCUUACUGACUAUCUCCUUAAUUAGAGUUUUCUGAACUUAGCCCUAAUUGUUUACCCUAUACUUACUGUAUUUGAAAUCCUUCCUUAUUGGUUGUACAAUGAUUUCUUUCCUUAUUUGUUACUUGUUCUUACCGUUUGAACAGAUUCCCUUAAAUUAAGGGAGUACUUGUACUGAUUUUGCUCUGAUUGGUUCUGAGUUCCAUAAUUACUAUACUAUUGUGAUUCUUGCCUUAUUUUACCUAGUUUCGAACUACUAUAUAUACAUACUCUCUCAUUAACACAAACACACGAACACAUUAGUUCAAAAAGCACUCUCACACUCAAAACUUUCUGUUUUCUCUUUGGUUACUUGCUAUUAUUCUGAGUUAGCCGGCUCUCUCACACUCAAAACAACACAUGUUAUCUCAUGUUUGCUAUGUAUGCUCUGCCAUGUUAGAAACCAUGCCUGUAGGAUUUCAUAUAUUUGCUAUGUUUGACUUACCAUACUAGAAAUCAUGCCUAUAGAUUUUACAACCAAUUUCACAAAUAGAUAUCAUACUUAAGCAUGUGAUCAAGUUAAAGUUUCUGUUCCAAUGGUUGUUUAUAUUUAUUUCCACUAGAAAUCAUGCAUAUAAGUUUAUAAACAACAAGAUAUCAUGCUCAUAGGGAACAACAUCAGAAAUUCUGCAUAUAGAUCCACAAUCAGUUUAGUUUAAAUAAGUCAAUCCAGUUCCUGAUAAGUUUACUUCGAAACUGGUCUAAUUAAUGGUUUGUUUUCCCUGAAAUGAAUUCUUUCGAGUACUGCUCUAAUUUACUAUUAGAAAGCAUGCCUAUAGGAACUCAAGAGUCUGUUUUAAAAUUUGCCCACUGUUUUACUAUAUCAAACGUAGUUAUCAUGCUCUUAGGACACCACUAUUCAGUGUGUAGGCAAGCCUAUAGGGCGUUUUCAAAUCCUGCAACUCUGAAACUGUUUCUGCUACUUAAUGUUGUUCUAAUUAACAAGCUUAAAAUCAGCAGGCAAACUGAUAGGGCCAUUACUUCUGAGCUUAUAAAAAAUAAACUGCCUAUCUUCUAUGUCUUGAUAUUCAUUUAGACAUUAUGUUUUAGGAUACUGUUUAACAAUACGACCCUUAUUUAUGUUUGAGUCGUGCUGCUUAUAUGCGUUGUUUGUGGAGGUAAGCUUGAGCCUCUAAUUGCUUCUUUUCUACCUUAUGUGCUAAGACCCUAUUUGUUCUUGCCUGUCACCUUAGUAUUUUUGCCUUUGAACCUUAGGGGUCUGUCUAGAACUGCCUAUAGGUAGAGGUCCUAAAUUUCCUCUAGGACCAUUAAGAAGUGACAGGAAACAACACGCAAUAGAGAUCGCUAAUCAACACUCGCUUUAAUAACCACUAAGGGGGUCGGAAGGGUAGAUAUGGGAUAUGAUAACUACGCUUUAAUAUCACGUGUAGCCCCUCAUUGAGGAGUAUUUACUGGUUAUUAUGUGGGGUGAUCCUAUAGGCUAACUAACCUAGGACCCCUCCUUUCCCAAAUCCCUUUCAUUUAAAACAUUGUUUUAUAUGUAUACAACUUGUUCAAAAUCUUUGUCUUAUUAUACAAUGUCCAACGUGCUUUACUUGCAAAUUAUUUGAUUCAACUAUUUAUUUGUUAAUGGACUAAUUCAUAAGUUAAGUUCGGCCGGGACCAACCGUUGUGGACCGCGAGGGGUGCCUAACACCUUCCCCUCAAGGUUAUUUCGAGCCCUUACCCUAAAUCUCUGGUAAUGCAAACCAAUCCAAGAGUUAAUCGCUCUAGGUUCCCUAACGCACCAUAAUCUGUUAGGUGGUGAAUCUUCAAAUACCCAAUUCCCAAAAGGAAACGAGUUAUUCUCCAUGAAUGUCGAAACCCGGACUUUUCUCUGCAGCGGAAAAAAGGGGGCGCGACAGCAUGGCGACUCUGCUGGGGAUACCUUUUGGCUCUUACCAUAACGAACUUACCUUAUGUGAAUUCAUCCAAGCAUGCUUUAUCUCGUACCCUUUCCCCAUAUUUGAAUUUAACUGCCUAUUUUCUUUUAAGCAUUUAGGAUUUUUUAUCCCGGAAACUAACUUGUCUUUUUAUUUCUUUUUCCUGUAACUGUCUUUCAAUUAUUUAAAUACCAUAUUUAUUUUUCCUAUGUACAAAUACUUGAACACAUGUUAUUAAUUGUUGCAUAAAUCAUGCUCCACAUCAUAUUCCACUCGUGCGUAUCAAAUCCUAUAGCAACACUUAAAUGAGUGGUUGCACUCUUCCUAUUUACUACCCUUAAAUUCGGAAAUGUUUAUUUGCGGUAAAACCAGUUGAUCAGCGGUGCAGUAUUGACUAUUUCGUGCCUUCCCCCUCAAGUUGUCCGCUUGAGGGUACCAGUCUAAAACCCCAUAGUAGCCUUACUGUGGUCAAAAUUAUGCAUUCAUCAUGGUCAAAUCUAGUUGGAUCAAUAUGUUGUCCACGUAAUGAUCUUUUAAGACGAGCCUUAUCCAAAAGUCCACCGGGGUUUCUAUAAUCCCAACGGACACAAUCAUGUUCUGUGUAUUAAUUUGGAGAACAAAAUGCCGAUAUGCUAAUUAUGAGUGUACAAAUGGUAGGGAAAAGGUCCUAACCUUUUUGUUUUGCAAAAAAUGAGGCACGAAGUCCCUAGGUUCGGCAUGGCCGAUAAUAUACCAUCACUAUUGUUAGACUGGUGGAGGGUCUUCCAUCAUGUGACCAGAUCAAUGAAUGGAAAGAGAGGGCUGUCAAAUCUAGAGAAAAGCUAGAAUAUCUAGAAUACAGUCUGAUGGAAUUGGAAGGAAGAGUGAGGAAGAGAGUCACCGACUGCCAGAACGCUGAGGGAAAUGAAAGAGGACAUUUGGCAAAGGCAUUCCUAUUGCUGAACCUAUGUGAACUGGGGGAUUUGAUCGACAAGAGCAUCCAGCCAGAGGAAGGUCCUUCUGAGGCCAAAUAGAUUAGGUUUACUUGCUUUUCAAAUGUAAUAAAUCCAACUGCCAUUAGUGACUUAUCUUAUUUAGUGUCGUUUUGGGGUUCAUCUAUUUUAUCUUAAUGAAAUGAGGCAUUUAUUGGUAUCUAAAGUUCUCCAAAUCUAUUUGUCGCUAGGCCUACCUCGGCCACAACGAGGCUCCCAAAUUAGGAUGCGAAUUUACAUUUCCGCAAUAUGUGUUUAAAUAUUGCAAACAUUUCAGGAUCCUCACUGACUUGUUACCUUUUUAUUUUUGCUUAUUUUUUAUUGUUAUUCCCAUCCCCUUGGUUGGUUCACUCAUACUGGCCUCAUUAGUGUAUCACACCAGAUCUAGAGGCCCUCCACCUCCUCCUUCUCCAAACAACACAAAAGGUAGAGGAAAAACAAAUACGGACGACUUAAGUGGAAUCCUAAAGGAGAAUAUUGAGAAAGCAAAGACUUCAGAUGGCCGUAGUACUCCGGCCCCAAAUGAUCUAGUCUUGAGACUGGAACAAAAUAUGAUGGAAUUGCAAGGAGAACUUGAGCAGGUUCGCAAUUUGGUAAACUUGUCACUCACCCUCAAUGUCCCCAAUAUCCACCAACAAAACACAAAGAACCCAACACCUCCUCAGAACACACAAAACCAACAGCCACAAAAUCCUACCGCACCAAAUCAAUACACAACUCUACCCCAAAAUAUCAAUCUGCUGCCAAUACCAACUCCACCGCAACAUCAUCAUCAACCAAUUCAGUACCCACCAACCACCACUUACCACACUCCCCAAAACACACCACAACCUAUUCUCGAUCCCCAAAACUCCACCAAUGACCAUCAUUACACCCAAGUCCCUGGCACCCAUCAAAGAAACCCUAUAUAUGUGGAAAAUGUACCUCACUCUACCCAACCAAUCUCCUAUACACUGGAAUCCUCCGAGAAGGACCUGCUCAUUAAAAACAUGGCUGAAGAACUUAAGAAGUUAAUAAGCUGAGUUCAACGUGUUGAGGGCGAUAGAGGAAUAAAAGGUAUGAACUAUGAAGAUCUGUGCAUACAGCCGGAUAUCAAACUGUCAAAGGGGUACAAACUUCCCAAGUUCGAAAUGUUCGAUGGCAUAGGUGACCCUAGGGUUCAUCUAAAGACCUAUUGUGACAAUCUUGUCGGGGUCAGAAAAGAUGAAAAGAUCCGGAUGAAGCUCUUUAUGAGGAGUCUUACUAGGGAUGCUUUGUCUUGGUAUAUCAGUCAAGAUCCCAAGAAAUGGUCCAAUUAGGUAAGCAUGGUGUCGGAUUUCAUAGACCGGUACAGGUUCAACAUAGAAAAUGCACCGAAUAUUUUCUACAUUCAGAAUCUUAAGAAGAAACCUACUGAGACUUUUCGUGAACUACUCAUUGGUGGUCGGAAGCGGCCAAAGUCAGGCCCUUUUUGGAUGAACAGAUGAAUAAAUUUUUCAUCAGGGCACAGGAUCCACAAUAUUAUAAGAGGUUGAUGGUUAUUGAAAAUCACAAAUUCUCUAACAUCAUCAAAAUCGGAGAAAGAAUCUAAGAAGGAAUCAAGAGCGGGAUGGUAACAAAUUUCGAGGCACUGCAAGCCACGAAUAAGGCACUACAAUCAGGUGGCAUAUCGAAGAAGAGAGAUGUUGAGGCGGUAAUGGUGGCCCAGGGCCCAAAAUCUCCACUUACCUAUCAGACACCUCCACCCACAUAUCAAACACCUCUGCCCACAUAUCAAAUACCUCCACCCACAUACCAAGCAUCACCGCCAAAAUAUCAACCUUUAUCUCCCAGAUAUUCCCAACCAGCCACUAUCCAUCACACCUAUAACUCCCAACCAUCCCACUUCCAAUCACCACCAGCUAGCCAAAAUUAUCCAAGACCAAGACCCAACUUUGACCGCAAGCCACCCAGACAAUACACUGCCAUUGCUGAGCCCAUCGACCAACUGUAUGAAAUGUUGAAAGCCGCAGGUUACAUCACUCUUUUUCCCACUGUGGCAUUAGAAAAUCCAUCCCAAUGGGUCAAUCCGAACAAAACUUGUUCGUACCAUUCCGGUAUAAAAGGGCACACCACUACUGAGUGCCGAACAUUGAAGGAUAAGAUCCAUACGCUAAUUGACAACAAGGUCAUACAAGCAAAGGAAGUUGCACCUAAUGUCUGCAACAAUCCCCUCCCCGAUCACAGAGGUGAUGGUGUACAUGUGAUAGAGACAAAUGAAGAAUGGGACCCUGAGGGGUCGAUCAGGCUUAUUCGAGAAGGCGAUGACUUUAAGGUUGCAGUCACAUUUACUCCUAUUGUGGUUCAAACUCAGGCACCAAUCAAGGUUGAGGUAACUGUAUCAGUUCUAUUCAAAGUGGAAGUGGCUCCACCCGCAGCCACCCCCGCUCCAUUUGAAGUAGAAGUGGUCACACCUUUCACUAUGACAAUAUCAACCACACCCCCAUUCAACUCAAAAGCAAUACCCUGGGAUUAUGUUGUUGUGGCUCGGUGGAAAAGGAAGGCCAAGGUAGAGGAAUCUGACGCUACAUAAGGAAUGACUAGAACUGGAAGAGUUUAUAUACCUGAACACCUGGAAGGUUCAAGUAAGGAGGCCACUACUAGGUAGCCUAUCAUUAAGAUCGGGCUAGAUGACCUAUGAAGGAAAGUAUAGGCAAAGGAGUACUCUGUUGUUGACCAUCUGAACAAAGUCCCUGCUCAGAUAUCUAUCCUAUCGCUAUUGUAGAAUUCAGAGGCACACAAGAAUGCCUUAAUGAAAGUGUUGUGCGAGGCUUAUGUACCCAAUAACAUCACCGGUGGAGAAAUGGCUAACGUGGUUGGGCAAAUACUAGAAAGUCAUAAGAUCAUCUUCCACGAAGAUGAGAUACCACCCGAGGGACUGAAUCACAAUCGAGCAUUGCAUAUUACGGUGCAAUUUGAAGACAAGUUCAUUGUCAAGGUCUUGGUUGAUGGAGGUUCGAGCCUAAAUAUUUGUCUAUUGGACACUCCGAAAUGGUUGGACAAAGGUUUCCAUGAGAUACGGGUAGGAAGCAUGAAUGUGAAGGCUUUCGAUGGGUCCCAGAGGGCCACGAUCGGGGAAAUCAACCUUCGCUUGCAGAUGGGACCAACUUGGUUCGAUGUUGAAUUUCAAGUGCUUGACAUACCAGCCUCAUAUAAUCUUCUGUUGGGCCGACCAUGGAUCUAUGCCGCUGGAGCCAUGCCUUCCACACUACAUCAAGCUGUGAAGUUUGAAUGGAACCGCCAGGAGGUAAUCAUUCACGGAGAUGGAAGUAACCCCAUUUACACCAGUCAAACCAUCCCAGCUAUUAGACAUAGAAGGAGGCUAAGAGGGGAAGGCUAUCAUCAUAUUGAAUGGGUCAACGCCGUCGAGAAGGAUAAGUGGUGGAGUAACAAAAUGGAAAGAAUACUAGCUGGUCAGGAUAUGAACCCGGCAAAGGGUUGGGAAAGAACCUCUAAGGUAUCACCAAACCAAUACAGCUGAAAAAUCAUGGUACCACCUUUGGGCUCGGAUACCAGUAUACAUGGCAAGAGUACAAUGAUUGGUCGCCUCCAUGGCGUGGACCAUAUUACCCUCUUGAGCAGCCAGUGCCACGUUUGGAACAACCUUUUUCACCAGGCUGACACAAUAUGGGGGACUUCAAAAGAAGAAACACUAGCUGGGUUGAAGAAUUUGUUCUUGGAGGAUGAGGACAACUGCAGUGCCAUAAUUGAGGAGGAGGAGCCUCACUAUUCAGACCGUGAAUAAAGGAGUUGUUCUCAGGAAUUGGACCGCUACACUAUCCCGAGCCCGCCGAGUCCCUAGGUAGCCUGGCAGAUUUUUACUUCUAUAGCUAUUCUAGGCAUCAAAGAUUUCUAGUAAUUUUGUUUUAAAAUUUACUUGUUUCAAAAUAAAUGCUCGAUUCAUCAAGCCAAACUUUGUGUGCAUGAUUUUUUUUCCAGUUUUAAUCAAAUGCAUUUGUUCUUUAUCAUUAUUCAUUACUAUUUCUAUAAUUUUCCUUCUACAGUGUUAUUAUUACUUUUUCUGAUAAACCAGUGACUGUGACAUGUAAUGAGGCAACGCAACAUGAGAAUAGUGAUUCAGAGGAAGAAGAUGAGAUACCUAAGGAAAUUGUCAAGGAGGUUGAAAAUUUUGAGAAUAAGCCUAAGUCCAAUCUGGACGAAACCGAAGCAGUAAAUUUAGGAAAUGCUGAGACAAUCAAAGAGAUCCGCAUCAACAUUCACUUGUCACCAACAGAGAAGGAAGAGUACAUUCGUUUCCUAAAAGAGUAUGAGGACAUUUUUGCAUGGUCAUAUGAUGACAUGACCGGUUUGAGCACUUCCAUAGUGGCUCACAAGUUGCCUACUAAUCCUAUGUGUCCGCCAGUAAAACAGAAACUCAGAAAGUUCAAACCAGACAUGAGCCUGAAAAUCAAGGAGGAAGUUACCAAGCAGAUCAAAGCCAAAGUUCUCAGGGUGGUUGAAUAUCCAACCUAGUUAGCUAACAUUGUGCCAGUUCCGAAGAAGGACGGGAAGGUCAGAGUAUGUGUUGACUAUCAAGAUUUAAACAGAGCAAGUCCCAAGGAUGACUUCCCACUGCUAAAUAUACACAUCCUGAUCGAUAACUGUGCCAAGCAUGAACUCCAAUCCUUUGUAAAUUGCUUCGCGGGUUAUCACCAAAUUUGGAUGGAUGAAGAAGAUGCAGAGAAGACAGUUUUCAUCAUACCGUGGGGUGUAUACUGUUACAAGAUGAUGCCAUUCGGUCUGAAAAAUACUGGGGCCACUUACAUGAGAGCCAUGACAACCAUUUUACAUGAUAUGAUACACAAGGAAAUAGAGGUGUAUGUGGACGACGUCAUUAUCAAAUCCAAGAGGGCCGUAGAUCACGUAGCGUACCUGAGAAAGUUCUUUGACAGGCUAAGGAGGUACAAUUUGAAAUUGAACCCCACAAAGUGUGCAUUCGGGGUUCUCGCAGGAAAGUUACUGGGAUUCAUUGUCAGUUGCCGAGGGAUCGAGUUGGAUCUGUCUAAAGUCAAGGCUAUGCAGGAGUUACCACCACCUAAGAGCAAAGAGGAUGUGAGGAGCUUCCUAGGAUGGCUCAACUACAUCAGUCGAUUCAUAGCACAAUCCACAGUCUUAUGUGAACCCAUCUUCAAGAUGCUGAGGAAAGAUGCUGAAACAAGCUGGACAGAGGAUUGUCAGAAAGCUUUUGACAAGAUCAAGUAGUACCUGUCCGCACCACCAGUUCUGGUCCCGCCAGAACCAGGAUACCCUUUGCUACUAUAUCUAUCCGUGUUGGAUGGAGUCUUCAGAUGUGUUCUGGGACAACAUGACGAGACAUAAAGAAAGGAUCAAGCCAUAUAUUACUUGAGUAAGAAGUUUACGCCUUAUGAAGUACGGUAUUCUCUACUUGAAUGCACUUGCUAUGAUUUGACCUAGACAGCUCGAAAAUUGAGGCAUUACUUCUGUGCCUACACUACAUACCUCAUAUCGAGGAUGGACCCUCUAAAGUACAUAUUCUAGAAACCUAUGCCAACUGGAAAGUUGGCCAAAUGACAGAUAUUGUUGAGUGAAUUCGAUAUCAUCUACGUAAAUCAAAAGGCAGUCAAAGGACAAGCAUUGAUAGAUCACCUUGCUAAAAAUCCGGUGGGAGGAGCAUGCGAACCUUUAAAAACAUAUUUUCCUGAUGAAGAAGUGUCGUUCGUAGGGGAAGACAUUACCGAAGCAUACGAUGGUUGGAGGAUGUUCUUCGAUGGAACCACAAAUUUUAAAGGAGUGGGCGUUGGAGCAGUUUUGGUAUCAGAAAUGGGUCAGCAUUAUUCGGUAUCAGCUAAACUCAGAUUUUCCCGCACCAACAACAUGGCAGAGUAUGAAGCCUGCAUAUUAGGGCACAACAUGGCAGUCAACAUGGACAUUCAGGAGUUGCUGGUGAUCGGUGAUUCAGAUUUGCUUGUGCACCAGGUACAAAGAGUGUGGGCCACCAAGAAUUCCAAGAUAUUGUCAUAUCUGCACCAUGUACAGGAAUUGAGAAAGAGGUUCACGAAGAUAGAAUUCCGACAUGUGCCCAGAAUUCAGAAUGAGUUUGCCGACGCAUUGGCCACCUUGUCAUCUAUGAUACAAUAUCGAGAUAAGAAUUAUAUUGAUCCCAUUCCGGUAAGGAUCCAUAAUCAGCCGGCAUAUUAUGCUCAUGUUGAAGAAGAAAUGGAUGGAAAGCCUUGGUUCCAUGACAUCAAGGAGUAUUUGUCAAAGGGAGAAUAUCUGGAGCAUGCAAACCACACUCAGAAAUGCACACUUUGGAGAUUGUCAAAUCACUUCUUCCACAAUGGAGGAUACUUGUACAGAAGAACUCCUAAUUUGGGUUUACGAAGGUGUGUUGACGUGAAGGAAGCUUCUAAGCUACUUGAGGAUGUACAUGUCGGGACCUGUGGCCCACACAUGAAUGGUUUCAUCUUGGCUAAGAAGAUAAUUAGAGUCGGUUACUUUUGGAUGACCACGGAGAUAGAUUGCAUCCAUUAUGUACGCAAAUGCUUUCAAUGUCAAGUGCAUGCCAAUAUGAUAAAAGUAUCGCCGAACGAUCUCAAUGCAACAAGUUCACCUUGGCCAUUCGCCACCUGGGGAAUGGAUGUUAUUGGUUCAAUUGAGCCCACUACUUCAAAUGGACACAGAUUUAUCCUAGUGUCCAUUGAUUACUUCACGAAACGGGUAGAAGAUACAUCUUACAAAGCUGUAACCAAGAAAGUCGUCACAAAUUUUGUCAAGGAUCAUAUUGUCUGCCGAUUUGGAGUUCCCGAGUCCAUUAUUACUGACAACGCCGCCAAUCUUAAUAGUGAUAUAAUGAAAACUAUGUGUGAAGCUUUCAAAAUCAAGUACAAGAAUUCCACAGCCUACAGACCUCAGAUGAAUGGAGCCGUAGAAGCCACCAACAAAAACAUUAAGAAGAUACUAGAGAAAAUGGUAGAGAACCACAAACAAUGGCAUGAGAAGUUACCAUUUGCUCUAUUGGGGUACCGCACCAUGAUUAGCAUAUCAACCGGAGCAACUCCCUACAUGCUGGUUUAUGGUACCGAGGCUGUCAUCCCAGCCGAAGUGGAGAUUCCUUCUUUAAGAAUCAUACAGGAAGCUGAACUCAGCGAUGCAGAGUGGAUAAGUAGUCACUGUGAACAAUUGGCCCUUAUCGAUGGAAAGAGGAUGAAUGCAGUAUGUCGCGGCCAACUUUAUCAUAACAGAAUGUCCAACGCUUUCAACAAAAGGGUCAAACCAAGACAGUUCUCACCAGGGCAGCUAGCAUUGAAGAAAAUCUUCCCGCAUCAAGAUGAAGCCAAAGGGAAAUUCUCCCCCAACUGGCAAGGUCCGUACAUGGCUCACAGGGUGCUAACAGGAGGAGCACUCAUACUUGUAGAAAUGGGCGGGAGAAUCUGGACAAGGCCAAUCAAUUCAGACGCAGUCAAGAGAUACUAUGCUUAGAUUAUUUACAUUUCUUCAUUAGAUGUAAUUGAACUACGCUUGACCUGAUUCCCGCUUAAGAGGGGAUACGUAGGUAACCUUAUGGGUUCGGUCAUAUCAUAAUAAAAUUUUCAUUUCCCCGAAGACCAGAAACUGGGGCAGAAUUUUGAGGAGGACCCUCAAAAUUCCUGAGCAAGUCCAGCCAACGCCAUCGCAUACCAGAAAGUCAGUUAAGAAAUUGGGGCAGAAUUUUGAAAAGGAUUCUCAAAAUUCCAAGGAAGGUUCAGAAAAGCCUAUUAUCCGCAAAUAGUCAAAAGAUCAUCCACCAAACUGGGGCAGAAUUUUGAGGAGGACCCUCAAAAUUCCAAUAUAAGAGAGUUGCAAUGCCUUUGAGAUGUGUUACACUCACUAGUUCAUUUAAAAUUACUUGAUAUAUCAAUACAUUUCUAAAAUAACUCUAUUUUUAUCAAUGAUUGCAUAUUUUUCAAAAUCUCUAUUUCCAUAACAGUUAGGUGUUACCUAGGGGAACUCGAAAGGGCUUUCAGAAUGGAGCAAAGCAAGGCCGCAAGACGAAGCACAAACCAACCUCCCCUCACAAAACUUACAAUUUUUCUUUGAACGCAGGCACAUUUAACGUAACGAUAGCAUUCGCAAACAUGUAUACACAAAGAGAUCACUAUCAAUCAGGCCAUCAGACAACAAAUAUAUCUCCAGCUAAGACAUAUACUACUCCUUGCCUCCAUACUUGCAUGAGGCUAAUCCUUGCCUCCAUAUUUGCAUGAGGCUAAUCUAGGGGUGGGCAUCGGUCGGUUCGAUUCGAUUAUGAAUAUUAUCAGUUUUGCCUAACAGUUAUCGGUUCAUAACCCGAUAACCAAACCGAUAAGAUAUUGGUUAUCGGUUAUCGGUUAAUCGAUUAUCGAUCAUUAUCGGUUUGGUUAUCGGUUUACCCGAUAAGAUAAAACAACUAAAAUAGUUUCGCAAUGUAUAAAACUGUUUCACAAUGUAUAAAACUGUUUCGGUAUAAAGCUGGUUUACCAAAAUAGUUUUAUAAGAUUUUAAGAACUAUUUUGCUAAAACUGUUUUGCUAAAACACUUUUCAUAACUGUUCUAUUUCACGAAUUUAACUUUAAUGCAACAUCCAAUAAAAUAAACACUAACCAAAGUUUCUAUCUUUCAUUCUUCAACCCAAAAUCAAGUAGCGUAUAGGGUUUUGAACAUUUAUAUCUAAUUUUUAAUCUAGUAUAGAAAUAUGUAUAUAGAUUAAAAAGUUUAUUAGUUAUGAAAUACAAAUUUUAUAACAACUGACACAAGAUAACUUUGUAACAGCUCAACAAUUAAAGCACACGACAAAUCCCACUUCAACUUUCAAACAAACUAAGAAAAAUUCAGAGCAAGAAUGCUUUCAAACAAACUAAGAAAAAAAUGAAGAUGAAGCAACUAAAAACUUACACGAAGAAUCAAGAUGAAGCUGAAUAAUGCUGCUGAGAAAUGCGACUAAAGAGUGAAGUGAAGAUGCGAUUGAAGAAUCUGAUGGAUCUGAGAAAUGAAGUGAAGAUGCGACUAAAGAGUGAAAGAAAGAAGCUGAGAAAUGCGAUUGACAUCGGCUUGAGUCUUGACGGGCUGACUGGGUGAGGGCGUGAUCCGAAUGGCGCCGACCUGAGUCUUGACGGGGGCUGACUGGUGAGGGCGUGAGGUGGAGAAACUUAGAAAGAAUAGGGAAAUCAAAGAGUGAGUCAGUGAACUAUGAAUUAUGAAACCCUAGUAUGUAUAUACUUAAGGGUAAAUUAGUAAUUAGUUAAUCCUUAUUGGGUAUCGGUUUUACCCAAUAACAGAAUUGCUAAACUGAGCCCGAAUCGAUAGCCCAAUAAAAAAAAAUUAACCUGUUACCGAACCGUUAACCCAAUAAUCCAAUAAAUAAUUAACGGUUCGGGUUAUUGGUUUUACCCGAUAUAUGCCCACCCCUAGGCUAAUCUGUGCCUCUAUAUUUGCAUAAGGCUAAUCCCUGCCUCCAUAUCUGCACGAGGCUAAUCCUUGCCUCCAUAUUUGCAAGAGGCCAAUCCUUGCCUCCCUAUCUGCAUGAGGCUAAUCCCUGCCUCCCUAUUUGCAUGAGUCUAAUCCUUGACUCCAUGAGGCUAAUCCUUGACUCCAUAUUUGCAUGAGGCUAAUCCUUACCUCCAUAUUUGCAUAAGGCUAAUCCCUGCCUCCAUAUCUGCAUGAGGCUAAUCCUUGCCUCCAUACUUGCAUGGGGCUAAUCCUUGCCUCCUCAUUCACGUGGGACUAAGCAUUGUACCUUUUCGCACAAAUUUUGCACUAUUUCUAGCACUAUCUAGUUGCUCUUCUGACGGACUAAGCUCUGCCCUCCAUUUCGCAAGACUAAGCCUUGUCUUGUUAAUAUCACUAUUGCAUAUCAUGGGCUGAAAUAUCGCCAACCUAUCCAAAGGCGUCAUAGUCUAAAGGUAUCAUCCUCAUAGCUGGAAGACACCAUGCCAUGGCCUGAGGACCUCUUAAAUUUGCAUAUCAUUAUUCAAAGGUGUCAUGGUUCGGAGGCACCAUCUUCAUGGCCCGAGAACAUCAUUUCAUGGCCUGCGAAUCCCUUACUAUAUAAUUCAUGGCUCAAGACGUCAUGGUCUGAGAACGUCAUCUUUAACCGUCCGAAGACAUCCUUCAUGGUCCAAAGAGAAUUUUUAUCAUGUUAAAAUUUUCGCACACACAUGUUUGUAGCAUCUUUUAUGUGCAGGUAACCAGUAAGCAGCCGCUAUCCUAGUAGGAGCGAUCUCGCUCCAGCUCCUUCAACCGUCCCGAGCUUUAACUGCUCACCAUAGCCACUUUAGCACCUCGGUCCAUUCUUACAAUGAUCCCAAAGCAUCCCGCCAAUCAAAAUUGGUCAUCAUUUCUUUACCCGAAAACUCUUUCAUCAUUCCCAAGUAAAGAGGGGCAGCUGUUGAUACCCAAUUUUUUCCUAUAUAUUUUUAAUAUGCAUAAAUACUUUCAAAAUAGCAUACAUAUACAUAUAUGAGCAUGCGUAAGGUUUUUAUAAUUUUUCUAUAAUUUUAAAGUUUUUAAAUUGAUUUAUUUCCUCCCCUUUUUACUCAUUUAUAUUUUUAAAACAAAUUUGCAUAUAAUUGCAAUAUUAGCCCUAUUAAUGUAUAAUUACAUUUAUAUACAUAAAAUUGAUCUUCUAUAUUUUUAAAAUGUUAAAUAUCUAUUUUUAAUCAUUUUAUUACACGAAAUUAUUUUUUAGAAAUUGUCUAUUAUUUAUUAUAAAUUAUAUGGGUAUAAAUUGGCUAUUUAAAAUCUAGCCAUAUUGCAUUUCAAUUUUAGCCUCAAUUAAACCCAAUAUCCCAGCCCAAUUUCGGAUUAAAUAACCCGACCCAGGUCCUAAAUGCACCUGCCCGACCCAAAACCCAUCAGAUCCUGGUCGUUGAUCUUUUGAUCAACAACCCUCAUUCAUUCUUGCCUUUUUAUUCCAAACGACCCCAACCCUAACCAUUUUCCCACAUCCGCCGCCCUAAGAUCCUCUCUUCUCUCAAAACACUCUCAGCCUAACCCUAUCCCUUCAACCGCUGGCCUCUCUUCUCCGGUCAUCUCCGGUGACCUCUCAUCGUCUCCUAAGGUUCCUCUCAUGCCACGCUUGCCUUCUCUAAGGUCUUCAAGGGCUCAGGGCCAUGCCGACUUGCAUCGAGGGUUUGUCACUUGUUUGUUCUUGGCUACUCCAGUGUGAUUUCGAGCAAAGUCAUGUUGUAUUUGUUACGAUCCUUGGGAUUCUAGACAGGUUCUCUCAUCUCUAUAUGGGUUUCUUUUGAAACCCUCAUUUCUUCCUAUAUCUCCUAGAUCUGCAUAGAUCUAGGACGAUUUUGAGUUUGUUUCUUUAAUAUUUUACACUGUCCUUGGAACUCUUUACAAGAAUCGUUGAUUUCAAGUGUUUUUCACCUUCUUCUAAAAUUAGGGUUUUGGAACUUCUUUUAAAACUUUAUUUAACUGAUUCUUUAUUUUUAAACUUCAAUUUCUUGCAUAUUUUUGACUAAUUCUAUGAUUUUAUUACCUCUUCAAAUCGCAUAUGUUGAAAGCCCUAAUUUUCAAGGUUUCUUUGUUUGAUUCUGUGUAUCAGCAUGACUGACCGGUUCUUGUUUGAGUUUCUGUGACCAUCUUGCCUUGAAUAUGUUCCUACUGAGUUUUUUAGCCUAACUUAUAUUAACUCUAUGUGCUUGUAUUCAUCUUGACUGUAAGCACGUGAUUUUUGCUUCACAGACGCUCACUCCAAAAAGAAAUCAAAAAAUAAUGAUAAAUGGCCUCGCUGUACAGUUUUUCGAUUUUUCGUGACAUGUGCUGGUAGUCAUUUGUGGUUCUGUCCAUUUUUUUUUAUUUAAUCUUAUAUGUGUAACUGAACCGUGGGUCGGUCAUUAAAAGAAAAUUAAAAGAAAAUUCACAAAAAUAUGCAUCUUUUAUUCUAGGAUGUGAUUUAACCUAUUUUAAAAAAAUUUAACAUGUGUGUGAUAAAUGUGGGUGUCUUUAUUUCAUUUUUAUUUUUAAUUGUGUUUAAAAUUAGAAAACAAAAAAAAAGAGUGCAAAUUAUUCAGAAAAUCGGACUUGGGCCUGCUUGUUUUAAAUGUUUUAAGCACAAAAAGCAGCCCAAGUCAGCAGCCCAAGCAACCCGUCCCCAGGCCAUCAAAACGACGUAGUUCAAUACCAAGACUACGUCGUUUCGAGGACGGCUCAUCUCAGCCGUUCCAACCAAUCCAAUCCAACGGCCCUAAACCCCUUUUCUCGACCCGUUUCCAAGCCCGACCUACUUUAGAUGGAACGACACCGUUCCCCUUAAGGGAAGGGAUCUUAGCCUUUGAUUUCACUUGAUCUGACGGCCAUGAUUUAUUUUCCCCUUUCGUAUAUAAACCCCCCCAUCACACCCCAUGCCCCUAUCCAAGUCCCCACCCAAUCCAUCGUCCCCCAGACCAGCCUUAACACCCAAACCCUAGAGCCGCCAUAGCUUCCCUAUCACCUGAACCCGACAGCAAGGACGCCGGUGACCACCUCCUUAACACCCCUGAUGCACCUCAACCCCCUGAAUCCAAAUCCAUCAACAGUUUGGCUCGAAUCCUCCUCCACCUUCUCGAAUCUUCAUUGGAAGAUUCGAGACAAAACUCGAUCUACACCGAUCUACCCCAUAUUCACACUAGAUACUCCCCUGACAUCCCUCGUGACCAAACCAUGCUUGGUUUGGUCCGAAUCCACCCACAAAUCCCAAAAAAAACCAAAGCUGGAAAAGUCAAACCCUAGAACAUAAAGAUUUCGUGGGGUCUGUUUGAAUUUAGACAAGUUUGAAGUCUAGUGAACCUUAAUCGAAGUGUUCUUGGUCGAGAACACCUCGGUUAGGAUUUGUUCGACUUUAAACGGGCAAAUCAAGCCGAGCCUAGGGUCAGCUAUGUUUGAGGUUAUUCAGGUUUGCUCAUUUGUCCCUGUUGUUGUCCAUUUUUAGUUUAAUCUGUUGGCAUGUUUGGUUUGUUUGUCCGGUCCUGGGAUUUCUGUUAUCAGUUUGUCUCCCCAUCUAUACAAGACCUUUUGUUUAGUUUAUUCUAUUAUGUUAAGUUCAUGUGGUAGUGUCCUUAUUUCAAUUCAGUUUGUAUUCGUCAAACCAAUAAUGCCCGUUUGUUUUCCUGUAUCGUUGCAAAUUGCCAAGAACGUUGUUACACUUUGUUUUGUGUUGUUUUGUUUGGUUGAUUGCUUGUCCUGUAUCACAAUUAAUAUAGUCGAGUCGAUGUAUGUCGUCAAUUAGUUUCAGCCAUUGAAUGGUAACAAUUUGAUUCAUGUUGUUUGUGUUCUGCUGUGGUCGUAUUUGAAUUCAAUUAGGAACUGAAGUAUGUUGCCCAUUGAUUUGUUCAAUUUGAAUCAGAAAACAUUUAGGGGUGUGUUAUAAUGGCAGUUCAGACUUUGGUCUUAAAUGGAUAGCAUGUUUACUUGGUUCAGAUUUUGGGCAGCAUAUGCUUGGUCAGCUGUUAAGGAAUUUAAAUAAUUGUACAGCAUGUGCUGUCAGAUUAUAUUCCUGUUGCCCAUGCUUUGGCUAAAUAAAUAAGAGAUUAGGCCACUUUAACAACUAGAUAGAGAGGGGCUGUCGGGGGAUCUCAUGGGAGGUUUGGUUAUUUUAAAUAGUUGAGUGGAAAAACAGCAUGAAGGGGGAAUUCUGAGUUGUCCAACAGACUGUAAAGUGCUGAUGUUAGGCUAUAAAAGAGGCAGACCUUCCAUUAGAAAGGAGGAGGAUUUUGGAGUCUGGAGAGAGGUUUUAUGAGUUAGAAAAACUGAAAGAGAAAAACAGGAAGAAAUUUUCAGAACACUGUAACUAAACAAUGUCCAAAACUGCAUAAGAAAUUAAGUUGGUUAAGCUGUCUUGGCCAAGUCAGUUGUUCUAACUGGGGCUGUUACUAUUCCAUUAGGAAAUUCUGUUUGUUUUAUGCUGGGAUUACUACUAUUCUGAGUUUCUAUAUGUUGUGGAUUGAGUCUUGGUCUCGCUGAUUAUCGAAGCUGUGUUGGCUGUUUGCUGAGCUUUUGUGGUUAUUGAAUUUCUGUUGCUAUUGCAUUGAACAUUCUGGUUUUCUCGGCUGUAUUUUACUACUCUGUUUCCUGGGUUUGGUUUGCUUGGUGCUCGACCACUUGUGAGCUUCAUCAUUGUGGCUGGUUGUUGUUACUGUGUUUUUUGCUGUUUGGUUGCCUGUUGCUGAUACUUUUCUUCUUCUCCUUCUUAUCGUCCAAACAUCCAGGUACACAUUCUAAAUUCAUUGAUGUAAAUGGUGAAGUUUGGAGUUGAAUAAAGCAUGAGAAGUAUUGCAGUCCAAACAUUAGCAUAGUUACCAUUUUUCUGCUGCUUGUAGUUUAGAAUACUUGUAUAUUCAACAUGUAAAGUUUGGCUUUCAAACUAUGUAACGAAACAAUUUUUUUAGUCUUAUUGAGUUUGGUCCGGUUACCUGUUUGUUGUAUGUAAAUCAGAAAGAAGCUAGCUGAAGAAUAAUGAUACUCGGCCAACAAGGGUUUCACAUAGGGUCUGUUAAAAUAAAUGCAGUGAUCACAUUUGUGUCACCUUAAUUCAUCAGUAGGUAAUGUGUAUUUCAAAGGCAUAUUAGGCAAUUUGGAUUAUAGCAAAAAGAUAAAAAAAAAUAGUGUAGUUAAACACAUGGUAAUACCAUUUAAGAUAGGUAGGGUUAGUUUCAGUUGUUCCAUUUUUAAGUGUCAAGCAUGCAAGAAAUAAUUAACUGAACUUCGUACGUAUGCCCGUCAAUGAAUAAGGUCGAAUACGUCUAAUUUCUUCGCCUAAGAAUAAUCUUCUUCGAUAUUAUUGUGCGUCAAUCUCAUGUUUCAGUCUUCUUGAAUAAAAGAAUAUAGAACGAAAGCAAUCCCUUUUGUACAAACUCUGCUGCAAUUUUUCAUUUGUGUUAGUCGUAAACUAAUAACUAAUAAAUUACGUUUUUCAGCAUGUAAUUAAUUAAGAGUUUUUCCUUUAUUUUUAGAGACGAACUUAAUAGAAAAUGUAGUGGUUAUAGGUUUAUCUUUAAAAAAUAAAAAAUGAUAUGAGUCUCGCCGAAUAAAAAUGCAAAUCGCGGGGCCCUCAAUAAUUAGUCAUAAUAAAUACUUAGAAUUUGGGAUGGACUGUUUAGUGAAUUUCACUGUCUUCCCCAAAGAUAAUAACUCGUUAGCCUCUUUAGAUGCGAUCUAAUUAAAUUACUUUCUUAAACUCGGGUGCGCAUUUAUGUGACCCAAAUCCAAAUCUCAGCGGAGUUGAAAUGUGUCUCUGAUCACGGGUACAUUGAUUGUGACGUGGUUCGAGAUGCAUGUCCACGACGUUGCAAAUUCCUUUUAAAAAUAAUGAAUGAGAUGAGCCUCGACAAACAAAAUGCACAAGCUGCGGGGCCCUCCAAAUGUAUAUAUAUUAAAACACUUAGAAUUCGGGACAGGCCGUUUAGCGAAUUUUACGGCCUUCCCCAAAAUAACAAUACGCUAGUUGCGUUAGGCACGCCUUUAAUAAUUUAUUUUCCUUAACUCGGGUGCACAUUUAUGUGACCUAAAUCCAAAUCUCAACCGAGUCGAGAUAUGUCAAACAACCACGGGUGAUUGAUGUAACGUGGUUCGAGAUAUGUUUUCACGACGUUGCAACUCUCGUAAAAUAUAAUAAUGAAAGCAGUAAAAGUUAAAAUUUGCACAUAAGUUCAAUAUAUAAAAAAUCAGAUAAUCAAGCCGAAUAUAACAGUUGAGCGACCGUGCUAGAACCACGGAACUCGGGAAUGCCUAACACCUUCUCCCGGGUUAACAGAAUUCCUUAUCCGGAUUUCUGGUACGCAGACUGUAAUAUGGAGUCAUUUUUUCCUCGAUAUGGGAUUAAAAUUGGUGAGUUGGGACACCCUAAAUCUCCCAAGUGGCGACUCUGAAAUAAAUAAACACAUCCCGUUUCGAUUGUCCUUUAAUUGAAAAAAACUCCCCUGUACCCUCGCGGGUACGGAAAAAGGAGGUGUGACAUUGACUGUUCAAGACUUGACUCUUUCUAUCAGUGCUAUUUAACCUUCAUGUUUGCUAUGUCUGGUUAUUCUUAUCUUACCUAUUUAUAUGCUAAACACUGACUCAUGACUUUCUCUUUAAUUGAUUCUGGAUUCUCUGUUUCAUGGUUUUAUUGGAAGACCUUCCUUUAAACCUUUGAUUCCAAUCCUUUCUAUUCAAAUUGAUUGAUUCUCCUACCUUAUCUGCAUUGGUACCUUAUUCUUGCUGACUAUCUCCUUAAUUAGAGUUUUCUAAACUUAGCCCUAAUUGUUUACCCUAUACUUACUGUAUUUGAAACCUUUCCUUAUUGGUCAUACAUUGAUUUCUUUCUUUAUUUGUUACUUGUUCUUACCGUUUGAACCCAUUCCCUUAAAUUAAGGGAGUACUUGUACUGAUUUUUCUCUGAUUGGUUCUGAGUUAAAUAAUUACUAUACUAUUGUGAUUCUUGCCUUAUUUUACCUAGUUUUGAACUAUUAUAUAUACAUACUCUCUCAUUAACACAAACACACGAACACAUUAGUUCAAAAAGCUCUCUCACACUCAAAACUUUCUGCUAUCUCUUUGGUUACUUGCUAUUAUUCUGAGUUAGUCGGCUGCAAGCUAAGGCUAACUAUUGUGCUUUCCUAUUCCUCACUUUGUGUUUACCAUCUCUCUACAGGUAAGUUCUGAUUUCAAUUCAAGUCUCAAAACCAAUAUGUUUCUUUUACUACUUCACUUUAUCAUGUUUCUCAUUUGCUUCUAUCUAUGGUUCUGUUGUUCAACAUGCAAUUGUCAUGUUUACAUUAUUGCUUCAUAUAGCAUGCUAAUCUAACCUUCUUAGGGCUUUUCAGAACAUGUUCUACCCCCUCCCCUAGUAGUCUGUCUCAACAUGACUCUACCCUGCUUCGAAUGCUUGUCUACUUGUUAUCCAAUUUUGAUAUGCAAGCUGACCUGUCACUUUAAAUGGCUGAUUCUAUGGUUGUUUAUGAAACUCCUACGUAUUGGUACCAAUAACUAUCCCUUAAACCCCACAAGAUUUGCUAUGCUCAUGAUACUAUGUGCUAUGUGUGUCCCCAAUUCCCAUUCCCUUGUAUGAAGGACUGUUACUUGAGUAUUGUUGAACUUGUAUGACUGACCUGCUAUUUGUUUAAUUACACCACUAUUUUCAAAAGUUGUUUACCCAACAACUCUCUUGCUUACAAGUUAUUUCAACUAAGUCUCUUUUUUAACACUGUUUUCCUACUAAAAACCUUUCAAACUAUGUCAAGCACUCUCACUUUACUCCUAUGUCCCUAGGUUCUGCCCCCUCCAGUGUGUGUACUGCCUUGGGAUCCUCUUGAGAUCUCUCUGAACUUUGGCACACUGAGGCUGAUCAUUCCACACUGCACUUACUGAAUUUGGUUACAAAGUCUAGGUGUGAGCACUGCCCAGGAUCCUUGAGACCCUUAGGGAACUCUGACGCACCUAGACAAUGAUAUUGUUUAUGAAAUUGGCCUUUAAGGCUAUUGGAGGUUUGGGAAACCACUUGGGCAUGCUUGAGGCUCCCUAUAGUGUAACUUCUUCUUUUUCUUCUUAUUUGUUUAUGUAAUUCAUUCAUCUAGUUUGUAAUAAUUUAUAAACGAAUAUUGGGGUAACUAGUGAAAAAGGGUGGGUAGUUACAUAUUUGUGGGGUAAUAUGGGUAGAAACCAUGCCUAUAGGAUCUCAUAUUUGAUAUGUCUGCUCUGCCAUGUUAGAAACCAUGCCUAUAGGAUUUCAUAUAUUUUCUAUGUUUGCCUCACCAAGUUAGAAAUCAUGCCUAUAGGUUUUACAACCAAUUUUACAAAUAGAUAUCAUACUUAAGCAUGUGAUCAAGUUCAAGUUUCUGUUCCAAUGGUUGUUUACAUUUAUUUCCACUAGAAAUCAUGCCUAUAAGUUUAUAAACUACUAGAUAUCAUGCUCAUAGGUAACAACAUCAGAAAUUCUGCAUAUAGAUCCAAAAUCAGUUUAGUUUAAAUAAGUCAAUCCAGUUCCCGAUCAGUUUACUUUGAAACUGGUCUAAUUAGUGGUUUGUUUUCCCCGAAAUGAAUUCUUUCGAGUACUGCUCUAAUUUACUAUUAGAAAGCAUGCGUAUAGGAACUCAAGUGUCUGUUUUAAAAUUUGCCCACUGUUUUACUAUAUCAAACGUAGUUAUCAUGCUCUUAGGACACCACUAUUCAGCGUAUAGACAAGCCUAUAGGGCAUUUUCAAAUCCUGCAACUCUGGAACUAUUUCUGCUACUUAAUGUUGUUUUGAUUAACAAGCUUAAAAUCAGUAGGCAAACUGAUAGGGCCAUUACUUCUGAGUUUAUAAAAAAUAAACCGCAUAUCUUCUAUGUCUUGAUAUUUAUUUAGACAUCAUGUCUUAGGAUACCGUUUAACAAUACGACCCUGAUUUGUGUUUGAGUUAUGCUGCUUAUGUGCGUUGUUUGUGGAGGUAAACUUGAGCCUCUAAUUGCUUCUUUUCUGCCUUAUGUGCUAAGGUCCUAUUUGUUCUUUCCUGUCGCCUUAGUAUUUUUUCCUUUAAACCUUAGGGGUCUGUCUAGAACUGUCUAUAGGUAGAGGUCCUAAAUUUCCUCUAGGACCAUUAAGAAGGGACAGGUAACAACACGCAAUAGAGAUCGCUAACCGACACUCACUUUAAUAACCACUAAGGGGGUGGGAAGGGUAGAUAUGUGAUAUGAUGACUACGUGCUAAUGUCACGUGUAGCCCCUCAUUGAGGAGUGUUUAUCGAACAUUGUGUGGGGUGAUCAUGUAAGCUAACCAACCUAAGACCCCUCCUUUCCCAAAUCCCUUUCGUUAAAACUUUGUUUUAUAUGUAUACGACUUGUUCAAAAUCUUUGUCUUAUUAUACAACGUCCAACGUGCUUUACUUGCAAAUUAUUUGAUUUUACUAUUUAUUUAUUAAUGGACUAAUUCAUAAGUUAAGUUCGGUCGGGACCCACUAUUGUGGACUGCGAGGGGUGCCUAACACCUUCCCCUCAAGGUUAUUUCGAGCCCUUACCUUAAAUCUCUUGUAAUGCAAACCAAUCCAAGAGUUAAUUGCUUUAGGUGCCCUAAUGCACCAUAAUCCCUUAGGCGGCGACUCUUCAAAUACCCAAUUCCCAAAAGAAAACGAGUUGUUCUCCAUGAAUGUCGAAACUCGGACUUUUCUCUGCAGAGGAAAAAAGGGGGCGUGACAAGGGUCUUCUUACACAAACUGAUCAUUUGGCUACAGUGGCCACCAUUUAUAAAAAUGGUACUUGAGACACAUCCUCCAUAUACCUAAGCAUCCCUCAUAACAUGAGAGAUCUAAUUUAAUCUACUUCCAUCGCACCUAGUCUCUAUAAAGGAGGUCAAAAUGAUUUGGGGCAAAACAAACAAUGACCUCUUCAGUACUAAAUCAGCAUAUACCUUCCUUGCAAACAAGGCUCUCCAACAUCUGGCUGGAAGGUUAAUCAACAUCUACAUGUGGAUUUGGAAGCUAAGGAUACCUAACAAGAUUAAGACCUCCCUAUGACUCCUAUUCCGUGGAAGGCUUCCUACAAGGGCCUAUCUUCAAAAAAUUUGGGUCCCUUGUAAUCCCAUGUGUUGCUUCCACUAUGCUGAAAUUGAGACAUCUUCCCACAUUUUCUUUGAAUCCCCCAAUGCGAAAACAUUCUGGCUGCACAUAAUCUCCAAAAGCACCACCACAACCCCCAUAUCAGAACCUCACCUUCAUAAAUAGUUCUUGGUCUAACAUUGGGUCAACCUUACGGAGCAAGCCUUUCAACAAUAUUCUUUGCUGGGAAGACCUUUUUCCGUUUAACUUAUGACAGUUGUGGAUUACUAGGAACAAUAAUCUCUUCAACAAUAAAAAAGAUCAAGUCCCUACCUCUAAUGUCCUAGCAAGGGCAACUGAGUAUAUUACUAUCUCAACUGGGCACACAUCCAGAAAAGAGAAGAUCAUCUAGGUCAAAUGGGAUCCUCCACCAAGGGGCCAAUACAAGCUCAACAUUAAUAGGGUUGUACUUGGGAACACUGGGAAGGGUGGUGUGGGAAACAUUUUCAGAAAUUCCAGCGACAACUGGGUUCUGGGAUUCAUAAGAAGCCUUUCACACUCCACUAAUAGUUGUGCUCCUUGCACUACUUAAGGGACUGCAAAUUAUAGAGCAAAGAGGACUUACACCCCUAGAAAACAACAUAGACUCGACAGAGGUAAUAAAAUGCUUAAUUUACGUAUUUGACUCAAUUAUUUGUGAAUGUAGAUCGGUCAUCCUAAGAUUGGGAGACACAAUGGUGAAAACAACUAUAGGGAGAUGAACAAAGUAGCUAAUCUGAAGGCAAAACAGGGAGCAUUGAAAGACCUUUUUGGAAGAACAACAAUCGUGGCAGUUCCUUCGGUGUUUGCAAAUGAAACUUUUUGGGCAGACAUUCUAGGAACUAUUUUUUCUAAAAGGAUUUUGGACUGUAAUAUUAAUACUGUGGAAUAAAACUUAGGGGCACUUCAUACGAUGUAUCUUCCUCGGGUUUUCUUAUUUUGAAUGAGAGUCUCUUCCUGAUGGUCCCAUGUAAGGCUCGUACCUAUUUUUACCGAACCUUUUUUAGUUUCAGCUUGUCUUGUACUUACCCUUUCCUCUUUUUGAGACUGAGUGAUGAUAUCCUCUUCUAUCCGUGGAUUCAUGUUGUAUCUAUUGUAAACAUCAUUCCAUUUUGUUGUUGGAGAUUCUCAUAGACUUUCCUUAAGUCUUCUCGUGGCUUCUGAACUUUUCUCAUUUAGAUUACUAGAAAAUGCCAUAGAUGCCCAGUUAUCAGGUACACGUGGCAACACCAUCCUCUCACGCUGGAAUCUGUCUAUGAAUUCCCUGAGCAGCUCCGUAUCUCCUUGUUUUAUUUUGAAAAUGUCCAACAUUCUUUUUUCAACUUUUUGAGCUCCCGAGUGUGCUUUGAUAAAUGAAUUUGCAAGCUCAGCAAAAGAAUCUAUAGAAUUUUUGGGUAAAAGAGAGUACCAUGUUAAUGCUCCCUUAGUGAGUGUUUCACCGAAUUUUUUGACCAAUACUGAUUCAAUUUCUUACUUUGUCAAGCCAUGUUAAUCGAUGGCUUGAUCAUUUGCAAGUCUAUUAUUUUCAUUCGAUUUAGAUCUAUUAGGAGACCCCUCUCGUGAUUGUCGCUGAGAAUGUUGUGGAGAAGGAUGGGGAGUUCUGUCACCUUGUUGGUUCAGUUGUUGUGGAUCUACUUGGAGUGGUAAAUUUUGUUGGUUAUUGUCUUUGACAUUCGACAUGAUAGUUUUCGAUAAAGAAUCGAUUUGGAAAGCAGAAGAUAAUCAGAUUCCCGACAACGGAACCAAUUUGUUUAACCAAAAAAUAGAAAUUUCGUUCAAAGUUACUUUUAGAAGAACUCGGGUUACUGAUAAUCAAAUAUAAAACAAACAAGAAAAAUUGACUUAAAUGAUAACAUAAUAAGUAAAAGAAAGCAAAGUAAAUCAGUUUAUUCCAAUGAUAUAUUGUGUCUUUACAAAUGUUAUUUCUCUAUUUUUAUAGCUAUUUCUAAGUAAUACGUUUCUUUCCUCUCAUAACAGAGCCAUUAUGAGCCUUUAAUGGUAUUAAUGUAAUGUUAUAAUUGGCAAUCGUAACUGUUUCGUGAAGAUUCUAUAACGUUUUUCAUCAUUGAUGCUCAUUAAUCACGGAUAAUACGUAUCUAUACUUUUUUGCUAUCUAAGUUCACUCAUCCGAUGCCUCUUCAAAUUAUCAAGAGGUCCGAAUAACCGUUCCUUCCUAUUUUCUUGAAUCUUUACCCGCACCUGUUAAGGUUCGUGCCUCUUCGACUAUUCUCUGUCAGUUGUCAUUCUGUUAUUGAUCCACGUGUCUUGACGUGUCAGCACUUAAUUACUUCCAAAUGUUAACUUGAUUUUUUCCAAUACAGAUAGUCCCCCCAUUUUUCAUUUAUUCAUCAAUUGAAUAUUUGGGAAGUGGAUCUCAUACAAGCAGGAAUUUUUGCUGCCAUUCUUCGUAUCAUUAUAACUUCUCUAAAAUUGACGCUUUGCAUGUCACUUCCAUUUAAUGCCCGUGACACAUGGUGGCUUUUGAUUGGUUUUGCAACCUUUCAGCGCCUUUUGAGGCUUUUUCCGACGUGCAUCAAUCACGAAGUGACAGUUCUCAUUAUGAUGUUCUUAUCAUUACCUUUUUGUUUGAUGGUUGUUUUUGAGUAUAAAUAUAACCUUUGUCUUUUCUUUUCCAUAAAAGUUUUCCAUCUUUGAAUAUUUAUUCUUGUCUUCUUCCUCGUACAUCUAUGUCUUCUUUGAACCCUAAUCCCCGAAGAGUUCCUAUUGUUGAUGAACUUCCCCUUGUUCAUGUUAGAAGCAGAAGAGGGGGAAGACUAUGCAGUUUAGGAUCAUCAUUUAUUCGAGGUGCUUCUUUGCCUCCACCUAGUUCUACCCCUCCUUCUUCUUCUAGAACUAGGGGUUCUCUUUUACAUAGAUCUUCUGCCAGAAGUAGGGAUUCCAGUGAGCCAAUCCGUGAACCUAUAGUAGACGAAAAUAUCCCUUCUGAACUUUCCUUCUAUUCCGAUAGAGAAUCAAUUAGAAACCAGGUUUCCUCUAUGUCCUCUCAUGAUCGUACUGACGUUUACCUUUCUUAAAUUACUGAAGGUUUAAUCUCUAUUGUCCGUAGAGAUUGCCAUUGGAAAUGUGACUUCCCAAUCAUAAUUCCUAAUACAAAUCAAAGAAUCACAUCCUACAUGACUAGAUUUUCUUUCGUGUAUACAUAUCCUUUUACACUGAAUUUUAGACCCCUCAUUGAUCCUAUUAUCAUCGAGUUCUGUCGUUAUUUCAAUGUUUGUUUAGGACAAAUUAACCCCAUUGUAUGGAGGGUUGUAGCUUGUUUAAGGUACUUGGCGAACUUGGCUCAAUUGCCUUUUACUUUUUUUCAUCUAAUCCACCUCUACUCCCCUAAGCUAUUCCAACAUGGGAUCUUUACUUUGGUGGCGAGGAGUAAUAGGGUUUUAGUCAGCCCUGAGGAUGACAAGGACCGUGGCUGGUAUGCCAGAUUUGUUGCUGCUCCUACUAUAGGGUUAGUAGGCGAAGAAAAUACUCCAUUCCCUAAAAAGUUGAAUUUUGCACGUAAGUUUUCUUAAAAACUUUCUCUUUCCUCUUUUUCCGUUUUCCCCCUUUUUUUUGAAAAGGUUUGUUCUUCUCGUGACUAUUUCACUUUUUCUUUUUUCAGCAACCAUGGGAACUGUUGAAGAGAUUCCCAAUUUCGUGGUUGGGUAGAGAAAUUAUUGACCAUUGUUCUAAUGGAGACUAGAUCUUGGAAAUACCUUUCGAACAGGUUUGGUUGGAAGGUUAAAAUUCAUGGUAAAAACUUUACUCUUUCCCUUUCUAUUUUUGUUCAUCUUUCAUUUAGAAUGUAUUUGACCCGUCUUUUUAUCAGGGUUUCCUAUUCAUGGUGUUAGUGCCAAGUCAAUCGUAGCUUCCAGGGUUUCUUUGGCAAGAGCUCAAGAGAUAAUUUUGAGUUCUUCAUCGAAAAGGAAAGUUUAUGCGUCCCAGGAUUCUGAGGAGGAAGAGGAACGAGAUGGAAGUUCCUUGGUUAGAAGGUCGCGGGCUAGAAGACGUGUCAUUUCGGAUGAUGAAGCUACUCCUCCCCGUUUUAUUCCUGUGACUGAGCCUGUUGAAGCCACCUUAGUGAGUUCCGAUGACAAUACUCCUAUGGCAGCUCGUGACUCCGAUGAACAACUUUUUCCCGUGGGUUUGAUAGUGAAAAUUUUGAUUUGGUGUCUGAUAAAGUACCUCUUGCCUCUUUCUCCAUGUCUGUUCCAGUGGAAUGUUCUUUACCUGUUUCUACUGUUGUUUUUUCUUCCCUGCUUCAAGCUAUUAUGACUUCCUCUACAGUCCCCACUACUAUUGUUCCUCACACUUGAGUUGGUUCUUCAAGUGGAAGUAGAGUGAUGAAGUAGAUUACCAUUGAAGUCCCUACAGAUGGUAGUCUUUUGAAAAAGUCAGGUCAGGCAGACGUAUAGUUGAAACCCUUGAUUGGUUCGGUUGAAAAGUCCAAACUAGAAAGUCAUAGUUCUCUGACUUGGAUGAAUGAUAUCGUGUCGUCAUCACUGAAGGUAUUAAUGUCUUUUCAUGUUUUAUUUCAUUCUCUUUUUACCAGGAUUCUUAUCCCUUUUUUUAGAUCAAUCUCAUCGGUACAGAGAUGAUGAAAAGGGUUUCCCAUACAGAGCAGUUGAUGCAUGAUUAUCAAAUUGAGGCAAACAAUUGGAAAGAACAAUAUGAAAGUCUUCAGCUUGACAUGGAAGUUUUAGAAGAAAUCAAAUGUACCUUAGAGCAGCAGUUGAGGGACAUGGCUUCGGAGUUAGCAGUUGAAAAAGCUUCUUCCAACCAGGCAGGCAAGGAUAAAACUCUCCUUGAGUCAUCAGUUGCCGAACAACUCUCCAAAGCCACCAAGGAGAUAAGAGGUUUGAGGGCCUUGUUGAACGAGAAAGAAGUCUAUGCUGGAGAACUUGUUCAAACACUCACCCAGACCCAAGAGGAUCUUCGUGUGUCUUCUGAUAAGGUCAAGUUUUUGGAGAGUUCACUUGCCUCUUUACAGUCUUCUUACGAUGGUGUUUUAGCUGAAAGGGAGGAGCUCAAGAGUGAAAUUGACCAUUGGGAAAGAGACUACGAGGCUCUUGAGGACAAAGCUGAUGUCGAAGUAAGUUGGGCUAUAUUGAACACACGCCAUGACACCCUUAUAGAGGUUAGCCAAAAAGGUUUUAACUUAGGUGCUGAGUUAGCAAAGAUUAAGGAAACCAUUGAGAAAACUCAGCAAGUCCAAAGUUUCUCUUCUCCCAUGGCUGAUACUCCCGAGCACGUUGAAGAUGACUCUAGUGUGGUGGGUAUCCCAACUCCUUGAGAUCAAAUCGAGCCUUUUGUUGCUGGUGAUGUUGUUUUGAACCCUUCUCCCGCUCCAUAGUGAAAGUUUAUUGGUGAAGUUUGACUUCCUUUUUUUCCUUUUUGGUGGAAUAUGUGGUGGUUUUACCCCUGGUCCCAUUUGGGGGUUAUGUUUUUUGGUGAUAACAAGUCCUCAGGUCCUUUCGGGGUUUUUUGUAACAAGACAAUCAAUUUAUAACUAAGUUCAUACUUAGUUUUAACUUAAUAUUAUUAAGUUUCGAGUUUCUGCUAUACUCUUUUAGUAAUUUUCCUUGUUUUUUAUAAGUCCAAGGUCUUGCUUUUUAAUUCGUGGGUUUUUGUAUUACCCUUUUGACUUUUUGCAUUUUUAGAAAUGAUUUAUUAACUUCAUGGAUCUUUAAAUCAAACAUGAAUUUAUAAAAGAGGGCCCUUUUAUAUACGAAACUUAAUGAAGAAGACGCCUCAACUUCAUAAUGGUGUAAACAUACGAAAGGAGAAAUAGGAACACACAUGUUUCUUGAAAUAACUUUGAUAAAGUUUUCAUUCGAACUUUGUCAAGUUUAGAUAACAUCUUACAUGUAUUUAACUAUCUUCUAUUACUCUUCCGUAAAUAUUUUCUUUACAACAGAUUUACAAAAAAGAAAAUCCAAGGGUUUCUUUAUGACCCAUGGCUAAAUAAUGUCUUUAACCUAAACAUCCGUAAGAUUCUGAAAUUUGUAUCCACAAGUGUCUUCUUCACAGGUUUUUGGAUCAGGCUUGCAUUUUAGGCUCGUGACUUUGCUCUGAACUUGAUAUUUAUUGAGUAAACUUUAGGCUUGACUUGAAAUUUAAUCAUUUCAGCCUUCUUUGCCUUCCUUAUACAUACAUCAUAUGUAUAUUAUAUAGUCCCCCAAGUGUUUGAGAUUUAAAGUAUGAAAUCUCGAGCACUUGAUUAUUUAUUCCAUGUGGUCCUUUUCCUGAAAAUGAAAAACAUACGGGACUCGGAGGUACGAUUCUAGAUGAAGACUGCUUAACCCAUUUAAAUUUCCAUCAGAAUAGUUGUAACCCUAGACCGGGAAUUAUGUUCUUUCCACGUGUCUUUUAGGUCGUAAUUCAUCAUUUAGUACGGGCUAGCUUUCUGCCUAUCAUCGAAAAUCAUUAGUAAAAUUUUAAUAAUUCAAAAUAAAAAUCGUUAGUGAGGAUACCUACCCGUUGGUAUUUUCUUCCCUUAGAAGUAGUAUCUCUUCAGGUGAACAACAUUCCAAUUUGAAGGUAGAAUCUUGCCAUCCAACGUUUCAAGCUCGUAUGCUCCUUUUCCUGCGAUACCAUGAACCUUAUAAGGCCCUUCCCAAGUUGGACUUAGCUUUCCUGCAUUGGUUGCCCUCGUGGAUUGGAAAACUUUCUUGAGUACGUAAUCCCCAAUCUUGAAGUAUCUGAGACGAGCUUUCCUAUUGUAAUACCGCUCAAUAACUUGUUUUUGUGUUGCCAUCUUUAUUAGUGCAUUUUCCCUUCUUUCUUCAAGCAAAUCCAGGUUUACCCGCAUCUUUUAUUCGUUCGAUUCUUUGGUGGCUUGAAUAUAUCUCGUACUUGGUUCCCCUAUCUCGACUGGAAUUAAGGCUUCAGCUCCAUAAACAAGUGAAAAUAGUAUUUCUCCCGUAAUAGUUUUUGCUAUUAUUCGAUAAGCCCAUAAGAUUCCAGGUAGUACCUCUGGCCAAUUGCCUUUAGAUUCUUCCAGUCUUUUAUUCAAGUUAUUGAUAAUGACUUUAUUUGUUGAUUCAACUUGUCAGUUACCCACCGGAUGGUAAGGAGUUGAAAUAAUCCUUUUAAUUCGCCAACUUUGGAAAAUUCUAUGAUUUGUGCACCUAUAAAUUGCGGGCCGUUAUCACAUACGAUUUCCUUUGGUACCCCAAAUCGGCAUAUGAUAUUCCGACAUAUGAAGUCUCUGACCUCUUUUUCUCAUACCUGUUUGAAAGCUCCCGCUUCUACCCAUUUAGUAAAAUAGUGAGUGAGCACUAAUAAAAAUCUUACCUUGCCUUUGGCUUGUGGUAGUGGAUCUACGAUAUCCAUUCUCCACUUCAUAAAAGGCCAUGGUGCAACGACUAGAUGUAAUAAUUCAGCUGGUCGAUGCAUUUGUUACCAUAUCUUUGGCACUUGUCACAUUUUACCAUAAAAUUUUCCGCGUCUUCUUCCAUUUUUGGCCAAUAAUAGCCGGCUCUAAUCAUAGUUUUUACCAAAAUCUUCCUCCAGCAUAAUUUCCACAAUGUCCCUUGUGUAUUUCUCUCAUCACGUACUCUGUUUGAGAAGGCCCAAGGCAUCUUGUUAGAGGACCACCGAACAUUUUUCGAUAAAGAUUGCCUUGCUUUAAACAGUAGCGAGCAACUUUUUUGCGAAGUGCUUGAGCUUUUUUCUUAUCCUCAGGUAAAAUUCCAUGCUGCAAAAAAUUGACAAUCUCGUUCCUCCAAUCCCAAGUUAGAUUAUUGUAAUUCACCUCGUUUUUGUCUUGAUCGAGUACUGAAUGAAACAAAUGAAUCACAUAAGCAUUCUCUUCAUUUGUCACUUCUGCAGCAGAUUCAAGAUUAGCUAGGGCAUCUGCCUCGGCAUUUUCUUCCCUUGGUAUUUGCAUGACUUUCCAAGUGUGAAAUUACCUGACCAAAUCUAGUGCCUUUUCCAGGUAUUGCUGCAUCCUCACCUUUUUGGCUGUAUAAGUCCCCUGCAUCUGGUUAACAACAAGUUGCGAGUCACUUUUGAUUAUUACCUGCUAUAUUCCGAGCUCUCGUGCCAACUCUAAACCUGCAAUUACAGCUUUAUAUUCUGCCUCAUUAUUAGUGAUUGGAUGACACUUUAUUACUUGUCUUAUGGUUUCACCCGUAUGUGGUACCAGGACAAUGCCGAGACCUGCUCCUUUUACAUUUGAUGAUCCGUCAGUAAAUAAGGUCCAUGUACCUGGAUUAGAUCCGUUAAAUACCUGGAGUUCUUUUUCUGCUUCUAACUGUAUACCUUGGCUAAAAUCUGCCAUAAAAUAUGCUAGAACUUGUGAUUUUAUUGCAGUUCUAGGUUGAUAUGUAAUGUUAUAUUCACUUAGUUCUAUAGUCCACUUGACUAAUCUACUAUAUAACUCUUGUUUAUGUAAUAUAUUACGUAAGGAGUAGGCGAUUACCACAGAAAUAGGAUGACAUUGGAAAUAAGGUCUUAAUUUCCUAGAUACCAUAAUCAAAGCUAAUGCAAGUUUCUCUAAAUGAGGAUAUCGAGUCUCAGCAUCUAGCAAAGAUUUGCUAACAUAAUAGAUUGGUGAUUGUUUACCUUGAUCUUCCCGAACUAAUACGACACUUACCGCUACUUCUGAAACUGAAAGGUAGACAAGCAAUUUCUCCUCUUCUUUUGGUUUUGCUAGCAGUGGUGGAUUUGACAGGUACGCCUUUAAAUUCUUAAGAUUUGUUGAUAUUCUUUAGACCAUUCAAAUUGGUUCUGCUUUUUUUUUAAAGCUGAAAAGAAUUUGAAGCAUUUUACUGAUGACUUGGAAAUAAAACUGCCUAAGGCUGCUAUUCUUCGUAUGAGCCUUUGAACUUCUUUUUUUCUCGUGAGUAUGUCUGGAAUCUCUUCGAUAGCAUUAAUAUGCGCAGGAUUUACUUCAAUGCCACGGUUAGAAACAAGAAAUCCUAAGAACUUACCUGAUGAGAUGCCAACUGCACAUUUCUCAGGAUUCAACUUCAUGUUGAAUUUGCGAAGAAUCUGAAAUGUAUCAGUCAAGUGUUGAAUAUGGUCCCCUGUUUGUUGUGAUUUGACCAACAUAUCAUUUAUAUACACUUCCAUGGUUUUGCCUAAAUGUUCUUGGAAUAUUUUGGUCACUAGCCUUUGGUAUGUGGCCCCAUCAUUCUUCAAACCAAAUGGCAUGACUUUGUAACAGUAAGUCCCCCUGUCCGUGAUGAAAGAAGUUUUUCUUCAUCUAGAGGAUCCAUUUUAAUCUCAUUAUAUCCUGAAUAGGCAUCUAAAAAACUUAACAAUUCAUGCCCUAUAGUAGCAUCAAUUAGUUGAUUUAUAUGCGGUAAUGGAAACGAAUCUUUAGGGCAAGCUUUAUUCAAAUCAGUAUAAUCUACACAAACUCGCCACUUACCAUUCUUUUUAGGUACUACCACGGUAUUAGCUAACCAAUCUGGAUACUUUACCUUGCGGAUAUACCCAAUUUUUAAAAGUUUCUGCACCUUAUCUUGAAUCACCAGCCUUGCUUCCUUUUCUUUUGUUUGACAAGUGGAUACAAUGGAUCUUUACUUAAUUUGUGGGUCAUUACCUCCAGUGGUAUAUCUGUCAUGUCUGAAUGGGACCAAGUAAAACAAUCUGCGUUAGCUUCUAAAAAUUCAAUCAACUUACGUUUUAUUUUCGGGCUGAGGUUGGUUCCAAUGUAAACUUUUUUGUUUGGACAAUGUACAAACAUCACCACAGCUUCCAGUUCCUUGAUCAUUGUCUUGAUAUUUUCAUUUUCUUCUAGUUCUUGAAUAGUAUCGGGCCUGGAAUCUACACAUGUUUGCCCAUCUUCAGUUGAGGUUCGUGUUGAUGCGUCCUCAACUAUAUUCUAUGAUUGCUAUUUUUAUUACUUUUGGCGUUUGAAUCUGCCAGAGAAUUAAUACUUCGUGAAGCUUGUUGGUUACCACAGAUUUUUCGUAUCCUCCAUUGUGAUGGAAAUUUGAUAACUUGAUGUAGAGUAGAUGGUACAAUGUCCAUUUCGUGAAUCUAUGGUCUACCGAGAAUCAUAUUGUAAGCCAUAUCCAUUUCUAUGACCUGAAAUUUUGUAUCUUUGACGACUCCUUCUGUGAAUGUGGUGAGUAUUAUCUCCCCUUUUGUUACGAUGCUCGAGUUAUCAAAACCAGAUAAUGUGUUUGCCUUGGGUAUCGGCUUAUCAUCAGCUUGCAUCUCGUUUACCGCUCUUAACAUAAUGAUAUUCACGGAACUACCUGGAUCAAUCAAAACUCAUUUUACAUUAAUGUCAUGUACAAGUAAAGAGAUUACCAGUACAUCAUUAUGCGGGGUUAGCACGCCAUCUGCAUCUACAUCAUCAAAUGUAAUACUUUCUUCUUCCAAAACCUGUCGAAUUCGCUUCCCGUGUGUGACUGUAAUUUUUGAAACUUUCUUUGCUGACGUAUAUAUUACGUCAUUAAUCUCUUCUCCUCCGCUUAUGACAUUAACCGUCCUUUUUGGUGAAAGGGGUUUAGGGGGCUCCUGGCUAUUCUUCAUAUACGCUUGCUUACCCCUUUCACCAAACAAUUCGGUUAGAUACCCCUGUUUUAAUAAAUGUUCAACUUCGCCUUGCAACAAUCUACAAUCCACCAUUUUAUGACCGUGAUCGUUGUGAAACUCGUACCAAAAAUCAGGAUUUCACCUAUUUGAGUUUGAUCUCAUUUCCUUUGGCCAGCGUACCUUGUCUCCCAUGUUCCUUAAAACAGCCACCAAUUUGGAUGUGCUAACAUUAAAACUGUAACCGCCAAUCUUUGCCUUCGAGCUUCUGUCAUCAUCUUGCACCUCUCGCGUGUUUCAUUCUUUUCCGAACCUUGAUGAUGAACCUAACUCCCUAUCUCGUGAUCUAUGAUCGUACCUCGGGUUUUCUUGUUUUGAACGAGAGUCUCUUCCAGAUGGUCCCAUGUAAGGCUCAAACCUAUUUUUACCUGACCUUUUUUCAAUUUCAGCUCAUCUUGUACUUACCCUUUCCUCUUUUCGAGACUGAGUGAUGGUAUUCUCUUCUAUCCGCAUCUUCGUGUUGUAUAUGUUGUAAAUAUCAUUCCAAGUUGUUGCUGGAAAUUCUCGUAGACUUUCCUUAAAUCUUCUCGUGACCUCUGAACUUUUCUCAUUUAGAUUACUAGCAAACGCCAUAGCUGCCCAGUUAUUAGGUACACGUGGCAACAUCAUCCUCUCACGCUAGAAUCUGUCUACGAAUUCCCUUAGCAGCUCUGUAUCUUCUUGUUUAUUUUGAAAAUGUCCUCCAUUCUCUUUUCAACUUUUUGAGCUCCCCAGUGAGCUUGGAUAAAUGAAUCUGCAAGCUCAGUAAAAGAAUCUAUAGAAUUUUCGGGUAAAAGAGAGUACCAUGUUAAUGCUCCCUUAGUGAGUGUUUCGCCGAAUUUUUUGACCAAUACCGAUUCAAUUUCUUGCUUGAUCAAGUCAUGUUAAUCGAUGUCUUGAUCAUUUGCAAGUCUAUCAUUUUCAUUCGAUUAAGAUAUGUUAGGAAACCCCUCUCGUGAUUGUCGUUAAGAAUGUUGUGGCGAAGGAGGGGGAGUUCUGUCACCUUGUUGGUUCAGCUGUUGUGGAUCUCCUUGGAGUGAUAAAUUUUGUUGGUUAUUGUCGUUGACAUUCAACAUGAUUAUUUUUGAUAAAUAAUCGAUUUGGAAAGCAGAAGAUUAUCAGAUUUCCCGCAAUGGAACCAAUUUGUUUAACCAGAAAAUAGGAAUUCGGUCAAUGCUUACUUUUAUAAGAACUCGGGUUACUGAUAAUCAAAUAUAAAACAAAUAAGAGAAAUUGACUUAAAUGAUAGCAGAAUAAGUAAAAGAAAGCAAAGUAAAUUAGUGUAUCCCAAUGAUAUAUUGUAUCUUUACAAAUGUUAUUUCUCUCCUUUUAUAGCUAUUUCUAAGUAAUACGUUUCUUUCCUCUCAUAACAGAGCCAUUAUGAGCAUUUAAUGGUAUUAAUGUAACGUUAUAAUUGGCAAUCAUAACUGUUUCGUGAAGAUUCUAUAACGUUUUUCAUCAUUGAUGCUCAUUAAUCACGGAUAAUACGUAUCUAUACUUUUUUGCUAUCUAGAUUCACUGCUCCGAUGCCUCUUCAAAUUAUCAAGAGGUCCGAAUAACCGUUCCUUCUUGUUUUUUUGAAUUUUUACCCGUGCCUGUUAAAGUUCGUGCCUCUUCAACUAUUCUCUGUCAGCUGUCAUUCUGUUAUUGAUCCAUGUGUCUUGACAUGUGAGCACUUAAUUAAUUCCAGAUGUUAACUUGAUUUUUCCUAAUACAAGCAUAACGACUAAUCAGUUCAUUGUACAGUUAACCCUUUUAAAACUUUAUAACCUUUCAAAGAUAAAUGCUUAUGUUCUAUAAAUAAAAAUGUCUUUGUUUAGUCAAUAGUAGGAUAUGUUAUAUUAUACCAGGAGCAUUAUUUAUUCUUUCUAAAAGUCGAACAAACGUUUCCAGAUUAAGUGCUUCUACAUAUUUUCUUAUUUUUGGCGAUCAUAUAUUUACGUGGAGAAAAGUUUAACAUCGUUUAGAUGAUCGAGACUUAACAUAUAAAGCAUGUGACUAGUGUUUUUUGCACUAUGAUAGUCAAAAGCUAAAUAGUGGACAAUUCAAAUACACAAAAAAUUAUAACAGGAAUAAGAGAAUUCAAAAUUUGAUUUAUGGUUAGCAAAGUAUAUUAAGGAUAACUUGUGUAUUUAUCUUCGUAUCAUCUUUAUAUAAUUAUAAUAAAUAAAUAUCUUUACAGAAAAAUAAAAAUAAAUGACCAAGUACAUGAUACGUAUGGUUACCGUAUUUGAAUGUAUGAAGAUAAUUUUUGUGAAAGAAGUCUCUGCCCAUGGCUGUUAAUAAUCGAAGAAAAUAGAGCUAAAGAGAGUUUUUUUUACAAAAUUUAAUUUUGAUGGAAAUAUUUAUCUGAUAAUAUUUACCCGAUAAAGUAGUAGAAGUAAGAUCACUAUCAUAAAAACAAAAGGGAUUUUUUUUACUUUUAGUCCGCGCCAGAAAUUAUUUAUAUUUGAUAGCUCAAAAAAUAUAUAAANNNNNNNNNNNNNNNNNNNNNNNNNUAUCCGAAACUUAUGGGCUCUUUUAGAAAAUAUUAGUUCUAAGUUUCAUAGAUGAAACCCUAAAGCCGUCCUGCUGCAUAUAAAGCUGCAGCUGAACUAAAUCGUCUCCUCUGAAGUCUGAAUUCAACCUGCCUCUGUAUUCAACACCAGUAGAAGUCUCAUCAGCAACAACACCAUGGUAAUCAAAUCUCUCGAAAUAACUACUUUCUCUUGUAUUGUUGCAUAAUUUGAAUGUAAUUUGCUGCUUUAUCUUUUGGGAUAGCGUCAGUACAAUCCAUGGGUAAUUUGGGUUUACUUAGAUUAGUAAUUGUUUUGGAUGUUUAAUCACAAGUUUGUGCCUUUCCUCAUGAAAAUCUGGGUAAUUUUGAUCUUGCUUAAAGACAUGGUCCCCAUUUUAAUCUGUUGCUUAAAAAAACACGAGCAGAAAGCAUUACUUUACAAUGUUUACAUAUUAAGCUUUUAAAGAAGAAAAAAAGAAAGAUAUCAGGCUUUAAUUGUUUCGAAAAGUGAUGCAAAUCGGGUACAUCACAUUUUGGGCGUAUAUAAUGGUUGAAUAAAGUUUUGCUUAAUGAAGACAAAAUUUUGAAACGUAUGACUAGUUGGUUAGAUUUAUUUGGACAGGCCUUAGAUUGAUUUGAAGUGAUGUAAAAUCAGAUAUAGCUCUUAAUUUCUUAUUUUAGACAAGUGAUGCAUAAAGUUUAGCUCUAUAAAUAAACUGCGCUGAACCUUGAAACUAUUUGGUUUAAUUUUGUUUGAAUAUUUGUUGUUUGCUCGGUUGGCGUUCAUGAAAUAAUGAUGCCUUGAUGUGGAGUUUUAGAAUGUGAAGGAAAGAAUGGUCGCUGUGAAGUUUUCUAAUGUUAAUGAUUUGUUGUAAUGUUGAUGACUUCGCCUUCAGUCGAAGAGGAGGACUAGGGAGCCAAAGGAAGAGACUGUCAUCCUUGGACCUGCUACGAGAGAGGGAGAGCUUGUUUUUGGUGUUGCCCACAUUUUUGCAUCAUUCAAUGACACUUUCAUUGUAUGUGGUAACCAUUGAAUUCAGUGCUCUCUAUUAUCUGAUUAUGUUGUUUCAAAUAGUUACAGACUUUUAUUGUUGGACUGCAGCAUGUGACUGAUUUGUCUGGAAGGGAAACAAUGGUUCGUAUUACUGGUAAGGACUAUACCUUUUCACUCAAUAGGCUUAUUUAAAUCUGAAUAUCUUGGUACUUUGCUUGGGGUGUUGUUGAGGAACAGAUAAAUUAAGAGCUCAAAUGUAACAUAAUCUGGCUUUUAUUUGCUUCGUUUUCAUUAAAAACUAAGAUACUCAAUUGUAAGCUCUGUUUCGACAACAGAAAAUAACAAGUGGAAUAACAUCUUUGCCAUGCAUUUUCUUAUAUUAAUUGAUGUAUACCUUGAUUCUAACUUUGACAAGAAAUACACAAAAUCAACAUUUGGUUUCAAUGGGAGUAGGUUGUGUUGGUUUCACUUAUAAUUCCUGUCACAUUUUAGAUGUCGUUUGAAAAUUAUUUUAAUGUCAUAAUUCGUGCAUAUUGUUAUUACUAUGUUUUCUAGUUGACAUUUGUGGUUUAUUCUGAGUCUGGCGAAAAUUCUUAGCUGCUACUGCUUAUCUCAAGCAUUAUGGCCCAUGGUACUUCUGUUAUUUUUGUUUUGUUUGGAAAUUGAAUGAAUAUGUUACCUUCACAUUAUAUUUAUGGUUAUGUUGAACUUCACAAUUUCUUUUGAGUUUUGUCGUUCCUAGUUAUUAUUGUCCUUUUUUUUCCUUUCUUCUCUAUCCUUUCACAAGUAGCCCAUAAUCUUUGAAGGAUUAGCUACUGAUGAAGUUCCGCUACUUAGAAUCCUGGUUCUUCCUUUGCCAGCUAUACACUUCCUCAAGUUCUUCAGUAUAGCUAUUCCUAUUCCCAUGCACUUCCUCGAGUUCCUCAGUAUAGCUAUUACUAGUCCAUACUUGGCUUCUAAACUCCCAUAUUCUGCAUUACCUGUAUUAGUCUUUCUAAAAUACUGUUUUAAUCCAUAUUUACCAUUACUUUGGUGCUCAUUUUUUUAAGCUUAGCUUUUAAUAUCCUUCCCUUCCUUUUCGCUUACCCAGUGUAAGACCUUUGAGCUUUUGUCUAGUGAAGUUUCAGUAGUUCUGAAUUGUGAGCUUGUUAUUAUUGUGACCAUUUAAGCACUUCAAACUCUACAUCCUAGCAUGUCUGCUCAAUAAUCUUAGCUUAAAUUUCUAUGUAACCAACUUUUUGCGUUUGUUUUCUCUUUUACAUCGCAACCAUAUGCUUUACACUUCCUCUUAGACGGUAAGAACCUUUGCUUUUUCAAUGUCAUUCUGGUGCAACAAUCUUUGUUAACAUGUCAGCAUUGGUGUUUUCUUAUCAUUCUCUUAACUUGAAUGGUUUGAAGGAUCGGUAGAUUUUCCAUUGAUGUUUUAGGGCUUCCAAAGCUUAUCUACUUUUUCUGCUUUUUACGAUUAUCUUUAUUAUUUAUAGGAACAAGUUGUAAUGAAUCUCUGCUGUCACCUGUUUCUAAUAGGUGGUAUGAAGGUCAAAGCCGAUAGGGAUGAAUCUUCCCCAUAUGCUGCUAUGCUUGCUGCACAAGAUGUUUCUCAGCGAUGCAAGGUCUUAGCUUAUGUUCAGUUCUUAUUUUCUUACGUCCCUUACCCGCUGCCAUCAGUUGCAUAAUGUGUUUCCUUUUUGUCCACACUCAUUUGGGUAAUUUCUCCUUGACUACAGGAGCUUGGCAUUAAUGCACUUCACAUUAAGCUUCGAGCUACAGGUGGAAACAAGACUAAAACACCUGGGCCUGGUGCUCAGUCUGCUCUCAGGGCUCUUGCUCGCUCAGGAAUGAAAAUUGGCCGUAUAGGUAUUGCUUAGCCUUCCUUCUAGCUUUUGUGUAUCAAAAGUUCAGAACUAUAUGCAGUCGCUUAUGUUACUAAAACCUUCAUAUAGGGCACACGUAAUGGUUUGUAUUUUUUACGGGACACGUUUAAUGUGGAUGAUCAUAAUUGACUUUAUUAUAUUGCAGAGGAUGUGACUCCAAUUCCUACUGAUAGCACCCGUAGAAAGGGUGGUAGGAGAGGAAGAAGGCUGUAAGCUUGCUGCUCUUGUCAGGAAGCAAAUUCGGAUUCUUGUUGAGAAUGUUGGAGGUGUUAGUUUUGAUAUGAACUUAAAUCUUGCUCGUCUACUAUGUAUGUAGUUCUAUUGAUGUUGGCCUUGCCUAUAGAUUUUGCUUCCUUUUUCGUGGUUAAAUUUGAGACAUUUAUGAGGACUAUGAAUUGUGGCCUACAAUCUAUUAGCUGGUUGAGAAUCUAUAUUUCAUGGUUUUCCAGUCUCGGCUGAUUGUUAGAUUGCUAAAAAUUUUAUUUUGUGCCUCACACAACUGCUUCUUUUUUGUCUCACAACUGUGGGUCAUAGAAUUUUGUGGACCUAUUGAAAAGAGAGGUUUCGCCCUUUCCGGCUCUUCUCCUCCAUGCUUCAGUUGCCGAGUAUGAUUUGGUAUAGUUUCAAAGUUUUAAGCUGGAGCCUCACGUCACGGAACGAAUGUUUUUGUUUUCAAAUCAGCUUCGAAGAAUGGCCGGGAAUCGUCUUUUUUGUCUCACAACUGUGGGUCACAGAAUUUUGUGGACCUAGAUGUGUAAGAUAUGAGUCUACAAAUAUGUGAGAUAAAAAGAGACCUCACACAACUAGUGUCAGUUGUGCAAGACACAAAAUAAAAUCACUCCAAACUAAAGCAGAGGCGAUAUUUCUACUACUAGCAUAAAAAACAUUUUAAGUACCACAAUACCGCACCUUAUUUCCUUCCUCUCCCUUUCCAUCUAAUAUAAAGUGCAAUCUAACGAGUGAUUUAGUUUCUGCCACCUACCAUCCUAUAAGGCGUUUCUGGAUUGCUAAAUAUAGUAUGUGGAACUCAACCUAUGUCCUCACAGGAUUAAUAUAAUUUGACUUUCUUUCCAGGGAUGUACUGGGAAUGAGAUAGUGUAGUUUUCCAUACUGAAUUUUCAUUACCAUCUAUCUAUCUAGCCAGUUAAAACAACAAUAAUCAAUCCAGUGAAUUUUCGCAAGUGGGGUUUUAGGGGGUGAUAUGUGUACGCAAUCUUAUCCUUAUUUAGGAGGGUGAUAUGUACGUAAUCUUACCCUUAUCCUGGAAGGCAGAAAGGUUGUUUUCAGAAGACCCUCGGCUAAAGAAAUGAUAAAAAGAAGUAAUGACAGUAACUAUAAACAACGAGAAGAUAAAGAGGACUGAAGCCAUUAUACGAUAGUAAUAGCAAUCUAAGAAUAAAGGGAUAACAAUCGAACACUAAUGCUCUUAAGUUGAAGAAGACAAAGGGAAAUGCUUGACAACCUACUACUAACCUUCUAUCCUAAUCCUCGACCUCCACAUUCUCCUAUCAAGAGUCAUGUCAUUAGUAAACUACAGCUGCUCCAUAUCCCACCUAAUCACCUCUUCCAAGAGUUCUUUGGCUUGCCUCUACUCCUCAUACCCACCAAAGUUAACCUCUCACACUUCCUAACUGGGGCUUCUAUGCUUCUCCUCUGAACAUGCCCGAACCAUUCAACCUCGUCUCUCGCAUCUUAUCCUCCAAGGGGGCCACACUCACCUUAUCCCGAAUAACUUUGUUUCUAAUCUUAUCCAACAUGGUAUGCUCACAUAUCCAUCUCAACAUUCUCAUUUCAGCCACUUUCAUUUUCUGGACAUGAGAGUUUUUGACCGGUCAAGACUCUACCCCAUACAACAUGGUCGGUCUAACCACUACUUUGUAGAACUUAUCUUAAGUCUCAGUGGCACAUUCUUAUCACAUCAGAUACUGGAAGUGAGCCGCCAAUUCAUCUACCCAGUUUGUGUUGGAAAAUAGAUGAUUUGAUGGAGUAAAUUAAUUAUAUCCUUAAGGAAUUUAUGCUCCUACUUUUUGUUGGGUGUAUGGAUUCCUUGGGAUUUACAAGGCGAAAUGAAUUUUAGUUGAGCAAAAAUCUUGAAUUCCAACAAGAAUACAAAUGGAGAAGUCCUUCGGGCAAAAUAGAUUUAGCUAUUUUGAGAAGGCACUUUGAUAAUAGGCAUCCAAUUAGACUAAUCUAAUUUGAAAUUUAAAUACAUUUAAAAUAAAAAAACUUGAUUCUACUAAGAGCACAAUGAAAAAGUCAUUUCUGUUAAAAACAGAUUUAACGAAUUUUGUAAAGGAGCUUAGAAUAAUCAUCUUAAAAUUCAAAAAAACGUUUAAAAUAAUCCUAUUAAAAAUGUAUAUUGUUUUUUAAUAAAUAGCUGAAGUUAAAUAUUCUACAACUUGCCUACUCUUCUAUUCUCAAAUCAUAACCACCCGAGAAAUCCCCUUAUUUUUGCGCGUUAAAAAUCCACUUACUUUUUUGUGUAACAUUCUUAUUACGUGUUACAUAACAAGCAUUAUUAAAUUAUCAAGGUUCAUAGGAAACCCUUCAGAAUUAUAUUUUGACACGCCAGAAAACAGACAAAAACAGUUUAGCAUCUUGCAGUGUAAUUCGAUGUUAAAAUGCAUAUUUGAGCAUGUUUUGAUAUCUUAUUUUGGGUCACAUUUGGUAUUUGAUUGGAUGUAUUUUUCCUUCAAAUCAGCGUGAGAAUACCAUGAGAUCUGGCCCAUGAAGAGAAUGAAGGGAAGAGGCCCAAACUUACCCCCCAUAUUUAUUACACUGAUUCGACCCGAUCCAUUUAUAUUAUAGAACAUUUUCCAUUAUUUGUAUAGACAGAAUUUCAUUCUUUACAAAUAAUAAAACAUUUUCCAUUUUUACUCUCGUUUAUCUGAGCUCAUAGAAGCUUCUAGGUUUCCUUCUCUAAGCUUGUGCACAAUGAAGAAUCUAUAAGUUUUCAUGGUAUCAGAGCUAAGGAUGACGUAGCUCACGUAUUUUUCGGCGGAUCGAUGUUACCCCGAGCUGUUUCUAAAGUUUUCGUUUUUCGACGACAGUGUUGUGGUGAUACAGUGUGAUUUUCCGGUGAAACUCGAAGGCGGAAGUUUUUAUCUUCAGAUUGAAGGUUAUUGUCUUCCAAUUUCACUGGAAAAUUGGUAAUUUUCUUCCGAUUAUAACUAGGGGUGGCAAAUGGGCGGGUUGAGCUGUAUUUGGGCGGGUCAAGAUGUGUUAGGUCAAUAAAUGAGUCAUUGCCCAGCCCAGCCCAGCCCAAUGUGUACUUGGACUAAGAUGGGCUAAACAAUGGGUCAUAACGCAACCCGCCCAACUUGACCCAUAUUUAGAAUCAUGCCCAUCUUGCAUAAAAAAAGACAUUUACCUUAAAAUGUGUAAGUUGAAAAAAAAUUUAGGGUGGGAGUGGGGGUAGGGGUUGGGGGAGGGUUUGAGGCUGGUGGGUAAUGCAGAAAAAUAAUAUAAAAAAAAACAAAAAAUUUAAAAUUUAAAAAAAAGUAAUUUUUUUAGGGGUUUUGGGGGGAGGGGUGGGGGUGGGUGGUGCNNNNNNNNNNNNNNNNNNNNNNNNNNNNNNNNNNNNNNNNNNNNNNNNNNNNNNNNNNNNNNNNNNNNNNNNNNNNNNNNNNNNNNNNNNNNNNNNNNNNNNNNNNNNNNNNNNNNNNNNNNNNNNNNNNNNNNNNNNNNNNNNNNNNNNNNNNNNNNNNNNNNNNUAAAUAAAGUUUCUAUAUAAGUUGGGUUGAGAUACCUUUUGGUUUUGGGUGAGUUUUAUGGGUUGUAUUUGGACUGCUUAAUGGGUCAGAAUGGACUAUAAAAUAUAAUUAGUUAACUUGGGCUCAACCCAAAUUGACCCAUGAACUAAAAUGUUUGUAAUCCAAUCCGUUAAUCUCUGGGUGAGUUGGGCGGGUUUGGUCUCAAAUUGUCACCCCUAAUUAUAACUGUGUUCGUGUGAUUUCUGGUUUAGUGAAUUUCUGAACCCUAAUUUUCUCGAAGUAUUUUGCUAUGGCUCCUAAUGUUGAUCCUUCAAAUGUUACUACUACUACUCCAUCUAGUAUGUCUUCUAACAUAGUUUUAGUUACAAAGUAUUUUAAUGGGACGGGGCAUGGAGGAUGAAGACGAAACAUGCUGAUUGGUCUGUCAUGUAAGAAUAAGUUAGGGAUUAUAAAUGGAACCAUCGCUAAACCUAGAGCAAAUUCUGUUCUAUUUGAACCAUGGGUUUGUUGUAACGAUAUGGUUACUGCUUGGAUACAAAAAUUAGAUAUAGUGUGAUGUAUACUGAGUCUGCACAAAAGCUAUGGCAAGAGAUUGAGCAGUGUUAUGGCAAGGCAAAUGGUACUAAGGUGUUUCAAAUUAGAAAGGAUCUUGCAUCCAUCUCCCAGGGGUCCUCUAGUGUUGCAUCUUAUUUUAAUCGUAUUAAGAAACUCUGGGAUGAGUACUCUAUCUCAUAUCCAGACCGCAUUUGUGGGUGUAAGGAAGCAUUUCAAAAGAUAGAAGAAGAAUAGAAGGUUCAACAAUUUUUAAUGGGGUUAAAUGAGACUUACACUGGAGUUAGGAGAAAUAUCUUGCUCAUGAAACCAUUAUCUAACAUUGAUAGUGUAUAUGCAAUGCUGAUAGAAGACGAGAGUUAGGUUGAGAAUCAACCCUCCAAUUCAGUUUUUGUUUCAGUUCAGAAGCCCUUCAGUUCUACUUACAAUUUAGAGGCUACUACUCAGAAGACUUUCAAUUCAAGGGUAAAUUUUAACUCCAUAAAGAAGAGCAACUCCAAUUUGGUGUGUAGAUACUUUAAGAAGCUAGGACAUCUCAUUGAUAAAUAUUACAAACUACAUAGGUAUCCCUCUGGAUUUGGAGCUAAAUUCAAGAGGUAUGCAGCUUAUGCUCAUCUGUCAGACUCAUCCAACAUGGGGCAACCUGAUAAUUCUGGUUCUAAAGGGUCUAAAGCAAUUCCACUUGACAUUGGUUGGGGGGAGAGGGAUAUUUUGACAAAGGAACAAUAUUAACUCUAUUUCAACAAUCCAAGUUCUCGUCUACUUCUCAGGAUACUACAUCUGCUCCAGCCAACUUUGCAGGUUUGAUAGCUAAUACUACUUUUGAGAAUUGUGGUUUUCAUACUUGCAAUCUGUCUAGAGUAAAGGAUAAUUUUUGGAUUAUAGAUUUUGGUGCAACUAAUUAUAUGACUCCUCAUGCAACAUUACUCACUGAUAUUAAACCUCUCUCCUUACCUUAUCUUGUUACACUCCCUAAUGGCUAUAAGGUUAAAGUAACCUAAAUUGGUACUCUUUCCUCUCUGCCACCAUGUUUCUUCCUGAUGUCUUAUUUGUUCCCUUCUUUCACUACAAUCUCAUUUCUUUGCAUCAGUUGCUGGUACACCUUAAGUGUAAUGCUUUCUUUACUCAUUAUGCUUGUGUUCUACUGCAGAGCCCUUUUCUGAAGAAGUCACUGGUUCUUGGUAAGCUUCAGAAGGAGCUAUACAUUCUUCAGGCAACUGACCUUAGUAAUUUUGAUUCUUCCACUUCUUUUUUUGUAAAUACCAUAACUGCUAACAUUAAUGAAAUGAAUAAGAGCAAUUUUAAUCAUCGUCUUCUUAUGUGUGCUGUUUCUAGAAAUAGUGUGGCUGCUUCUGAUAUUGUCUCUACUUCUUCUUGAUCUAUUGAUCAUAUGUGGAACCUAAGGUUGGGACAUGCCCCUUUUGCUAAAAUGAAACACAUACCUUUUCUUUCCAACAAAUUACCCCACAAACAGUCUUUUCUUUGUCCUAUAUGCCCUUUGGCCAGGCAGCAAAGACUCCCUUUCCCUGAAAGUUCUAUUCACUGUACGGCCUCUUUUCAAUUAAUUCAUGUGGAUCUGUGGGGGUCAUAUCACACUCAAACAUAUAAUGGAUUCUAAUAUUUCUUAACUAUUAUGCAUGACUUUACCAGGGCAACAUGAACUUAUCUCUUAUCUUCUAAAGCCAAUGCUUUUACCAUUCUAAAAUUAUUUAUCAUUAUGGUCCAGACUUAGUUCAGUUCUCAUGUUAAGGUAAUGAGAUCAGAUAAUACAUUUGAGUUGGGGGCAGUUCUGAGGCUGUAUCAUUCUUUUCUGCCCAAGGAAUUCUUUAUCAGACUUCUUGUCCCCAUACACCUCAACCAAAUGGUGUAGUGGAAAGAAAACAUAAGCAUCUUCUUGAAAUUGCUAGAGCACUCCUUUUUCAAUCCAAACUUCCACUCAAAUACUAGGGAGAAUGUAUAUUAACUGCUACUUAUCUCAUAAAUAGAUUCCCUUCCCCUUUACUUCAUCACAAAUCACCUUUUGAAUUGCUGCAUGGUUCCUCUCCUUCUUUUGAACAUUUAAGAGCCUUUGGAUGCUUGUGCUUUGUUUCUAUGCCUGAGUCUUACAGAGAAAAAUUCAAAUAUAGGACAAUUCCUUCUGUUUUCAUUGGGUAUAGUCUAGGAAAGAAAGCCUAUAAGUUGUUAAAUUUGUCUACCUCAGCUAUUUUUCAUUUUAGGGAUGUGGUGUUUCAUGAAAACCUCUUUCAUUACUCUAAUUCCUCUGUUGCCCAUUUAUUUCCUCUUCUUAUAUCCCUUACUGCUAUUGUUAUACCUGAAUCUCAUUCCACUUCAACAAUUCCUCAUGUACCUCAUCCUUCUUUUGCUCCCUUAUUUAGUUCUAUAAUUCCUCCUUCUUAUGUUUCUAAUCCUCCUCUCAGAAGACCUAAGAGACCAUCUAAAACUCCUGUCUACCUCAAUGAUUAUGUUUGCACCUCAGUUUUAGUUCUAAGAAUUGCUCUUAUACUCCUGACACAAGCUUGGCGGAACCUCAAUUUUAUCAUCAAGCUGCUUCACAUCCUGCAUGGCAAGAAGCUAUGAUAAAGGAGUUUCAGGCCUUGAAUGCCAAUAACACUUGGACUAUUGUGCCACAUCCUUCUGAAAAGAAAGCAAUUCCUUGUAAAUGGGUCUACAAAGUUAAACAAAAGGCAGAUGGGUCUGUUGAAAGAUAUAAUACGAGGCUAGUUAUUAGGGGUGAUAAUUAACAUGAAGGAGUUGAUUUUACUGAGACUUUCUCUAUCGUAGUUAAAUUGACCAUAAUUAGAUGUUUGUUGACUAUAGCUGCUAAGAGAAACUGGACAGUUUUUCAAUUAGAUACCAACAAUGCAUUUUUACAUGGGAUCUUGAUAAAGAGGUAUUCAUGAAAAUUUCACCUGGUUUGAGAGUCCAAUCCUCUUCUUCUGGGCAUUUUCUUGCUUGCAAGCUUAAUAAGUCUCUAUAUGGUCUUAGACAAGCUUCCAGGCAAUGGUAUGCCAAGUUAUCCUUCGCACUUCAAUCUAAAGUUUUCAAUCAAUUAUGAAUGAUUACUCAUUGUUUAUAAAACUGCAUGCUAACUGUUUAACUAUGGUAGUAGUAUAUAUAGAUGAUAAACUUGUCACUGGUGAUGAUUUAUCAGAGAUUCUUAUUUUGAAGAGUUUUUUGGAUGAUCAAUUUAAAAUCAAGGAUCUUGGUGAGAUCCACUAUUUCCUUGGUUUGGAAGUUCUCAAACAGUCUAAUGGGUUUCUGAUUAAUCAACAUAAGUUCCUUGUGGACAUUCUUUCUGAAUUUCAUUGUUUAGCUGUUUCUCUUGUGGUUUCUCCUCUUGAUCCUCACUCCAAACUCUCAGCUGAUGUUGGGGAUCUAUUGCCCGAUCUUUCUUUGUAAAGAAGAUUGGUAGGGAAAUUGAAUUUCCUCUAACACAUUAGGCCAUCCAUUUCCUUCACUAUCCAUUACUUGAGCCAAUACAUAUCUGCCCGAGGAUGCCCCAUCUAGAUGCAGCCUAUCAUGUGCUCAGGUACUUGGCUGGGACCACUACUCUAGGUUUGUUGUCUAAUUCUUCUUAUCUUGCUCUUCAUGGAUUUUGUAAUUCUGACUGGGCUAGCUGUACUGAUUCUUGAAGGUCUGUUAGUGGUCUGAUUCUCUUCCUUGGUGGAUGCACUAUUGCCUGAAAAUCUAAGAAGCAGUCCACCAUUGCCCUAUCCUCUGCUGAGGCUGAGGCUGAGUAUAAGGCCCUGCGACUGCUAGUUGCUAAGGUGACUUGGGUUCUCAGACUAUUGACUGGGCUUGGUGUUGCUAAUCUUACUCUUGUUGAUGCUUAUUGUGACAGCCAGUCUGCGAUACAUAUUGCAAAGAAUCAUCUUUUUCAUGAACUGACGAAACACAUUGAAGUGGAUUGCCAUUUUGUAAAGGAUGCUCUGAAGUCAGGGGUUAUCACUUUACAAUCUAUCUCUACCUCCUUACAAGUUGCUGGUAUUUUUACUAAAUCUCUGUUGGGUGUUCAUCAGCAGGCAUUCAUCUUCAAGCUUGGAAUGGAUUCCCCUUCCAGCUUGAGGGGGUGUUAAAGCCCAUGAAGAGAAUGAACAGAAGAGGCCCAAAGUUACCAGCCCAUAUUUAUUACACUGAUCCGACCCGAUUCCAUUUGUAAAUAAUAUAAAUAGAAUAUUUCCCAUUAUUUUGUAUAGACAGAAUUUCAUUCUUUACAGAUAAUAAAAUAUUUUCCAUUUUUAUUUUCGUUUCUCUGAGCUCAUGAAGCUUCUAGGUUUUAUUCUCUAAGCUUGGCACAAUGAAGAAUAUGUAAGUUUUCAAUCUGUCUUUUUAAAUAUGAGCUGAGUUAAACUCUUUCAUUGUUGGCAGCCGUAUGAAGAAGUCCAACUAAGGAAAAUCACUAAUAUUAGUAUAGGACGAAUGUUACUAAAAACUGAAAAAUAUACUCCCUUCGUUUUAAAUUAGAUGAGGUACUUUCCUUUUUAGUCUGUUCCAAACUAAAUGACAUCUUUCUAAAUUUGGAAAUAAUUCAAUUUUAAACUCUUCAUUUUACUCAUUUUAUCCUUAAUGAGAAGCUUUUAUAACCACACAAAUGUCAUGAUCCCACAAAACUUUUUUCCCCCUUAAGAUUUUAAGACCACAAGUUUCAAGAGCCUCCUUUUUUUUAAACUUCGUAUCGAAUCAAACUACCUUAUCUAAAUUGAAACGGAGGAAGUAUAUGUCAGGACAAAAACAAAAUAGAAGCUCUAUGUAACAAGGUCUCUACCAAAAAGAAAAAGGAAAGUUUUUUUUAAGAUAAAGAUAAAGAAUUGUCUAAGACAAGUAGAGUUCAAAUCUCGACGGAAAAAAAAUAUUAUUUCCUCCAUCCACAAUAAGUGACCAAUUUGCUUUGGGCAUACCUAUUAAGGAAAUACUAAAUUCUAGACGAAAAUAGUUAGUGUGACUAAACUAUCCUUCAUUAAAUGUUGCACCAUAGUUUAGUACUCCCUCCAAUUCACAAUAAGUGACCAAUUUGCCUUGGGCGCACCCAUUAAGGAAAUACUAAAUUCUAGACAAAAAUAGGUAGUACGAUUAAACUACCCUUCAUUAAAUGUUGCACCAUAAUUAUAGUAACAGUUACUUCUCUUCUCAAAUGUGAGGAGUAAAUGACUUUUUAUGGAUAUGUACAUAAGAGCAAUUUUGGAAAAACAAAUUGAAUUUUUUCUUGAUUAUAUAAAUGGACACUUAUUUUGGACCAAAAUAGAAAAGCAAAUUGGUCACUUAUUGUGGACCAGAGGGAGUAGUGCUUACUUCUCUUUUCAAAUGUGAGGAGUAAAUGAUUUUUUCGGGAUACGUACAUAAAGAUAAUUUUGAAAAAAUAAAUUGAAUUUUUUCUUAAUUAUAUAAAUGCACACUUAUUUUGGACCAAAAUAGAAAAGCAAAUUGGUCAGUUAUUAUGGAUUAGUGGAGUAGUGAUUAAGUUUUGAUUGAGCUACGCGGAGCUUUAAUAUCACCGUUAUAUAAAAAAGAUAAAGAAUUGUCUAACACAAAUACCAGUUUUGUCAUAGUUAAAAGUGCAACAUAAAUUGGAAAUCCCGUAAGGUUCAAUUGGUGACAGGAUUUGGACAGAGAGAUUCAAAGGAGAAAUGCAAAUUUCCCAUGUGCUUGUCUCUUUGCAAAUGUCUUGGAAUCUUCCACUUAUGACCAGCUGGAUUUCAACCCUACCACAGCCCAAUAUGGUUAUCUGUUUGCUUUUUGUAUGCAGCAACAGCAAAGCCAACAGGUCCCUUUAAUUAAAAUAGAAGCAUUUUCUACUCUAAAGUUUAAUCAUUGUUGUCUAUUAUAUUGCUAAUAGUCAACAAGCUGAUAGCCUAACAGGUGUUUCGUUAAUCGUUAUGGUUAAGACUCGAUUCCUUAACCCGUAAUUUGACCUCUUCUUGUUUCGUUUAACAAAUAUGGCUUAUGUAAUUGAUAAUUGAAACAUUUUCAUAAUAGGAUCUGGCCUCACACCUUAUCAAUUUUGCUGUUCUCACCAACUCAAACAUCAAUCCAAUCUUGAAACUUGAAAUUGACUUGGGAAGAUACUCUUUACGGCUUGUUUGGAUGGUUGUUACCUACUGUUCCCUCCGUUCCAAUUUAUGUGAAUCUGUUUAACUGUGCACGGAAUUUAAAAAAAAUGAAGACUUUUAAAAUUUGUGGUCCUAAACAAAGCAAAAAAGGGCCCAGAGUAUUUGUGUGGUUCUAAAAGCUUCUUAUUAAGGGUAGAAUUGAAAGUUUAAGCUAAAUUGUUACCAAAAUUUAGAAAGGGAUCAUUCUUUUUGGAACGGACCAAAAAUGAAAUAUGUUCACAUAAACUGAAACAGAGGGAGUAUUAUGUUGUAUUAUAUUAUUACUUUAUAUACUAUGUUAUUUUUAUUGUUACUUAAAUUUUGUUAUAUCAUAAUAUGAAGUCUGUUGUUCUGUAAUGAUAAAACCCCUCUUGUAUAGCGAUCAAUUUGGUUUGAUCGUGUUGUUAUUUUAUUUUUAUUUUUUCUCAUCUUGCCCUUACUAAUAUUUUACUCCCUCUGUUGCAGUUUAUGUGAACCUAUUUUCUUUUUGGUCCGUUCCAAAAAAAUAAACCCUUCCUAAAUUUGGUAACAAUUAGCUUAAAGUUACAACUCUUACCUUUAAUGAGAAACUUUUAUAACCACACAAAUACUCUGGGCCCCAUUUGGACUUGUUUAGGACCACAAAUUCCAAAAGUCUUCAUUUGUUUCUUAAAAUCCGUGUCCAAUCAAACAGGUUCACAUAAAUUGGAACGGAUUGAGUACUUUUUACCCUAAUUUUAAAUAAUUACUCUAUUCGAUAAAUCAUGUUUUCUUUAUAAUAUUGUAAGCUUAUUCUUCAAAUUGUGGUGUGUGACAUAAUAAAACAAUGAAGAACGACACGAUCUAUUUAAAUAUUAUAUUCAUUAACAUAAUACAAUACAAUAUAAUACGAUAGCAAAAUACCUUAACUCCCCCUAAACUUGACACGGAUUAUUAGUGACAACCUUAAACUAUUCGUGGUCUUAAUCACCCCCUCCCCCCUCAACUUGGCCUUCUUGAGACUCAUUACUCCCCUGGACGCUGCUGUGGCAAAGAGUGUGGGUGCACUCGCCUACCACGAGGAUUUUUCUGUAUGUGGCAUUUUUUUUAAAAAUAAAAUAUAUUUUUACCCUUUUAAGUAUAUUACUUUUUUGAAUAAUUUUUUUCGAAUACAAUUUAUAAUAAAACUUGGAUACUACAUUAUUUAGGCUAAGUUUUUUAUUUGGCUAAAAAUAAUAAAGUUUUAGUUAAUCUUUUUUUGAAUUUGACCUGAAAAUAAAGAUUUAUAUAAUUGAAAUAAAUAGUCAAGGCAUCUAAAAAAGUUAUAAAAAAUACAUAGUUCGAAAUUAAUUAUUUUGGCUAUAAUUUUUUUAUAUAGCUCUAAAUUAUGGUGCUCUAAAAAAUAUUUUUUUUUUAUAGAUUUUUACCUGAAAAAGUAAAAAAUACACAGUUGAAAUAAAUAGUCAUGACUAUUUAUUUCNNNNNNNNNNNNNNNNNNNNNNNNNNNNNNNNNNNNNNNNNNNNNNNNNNNNNNNNNNNNNNNNNNNNNNNNNNNNNNNNNNNNNNNNNNNNNNNNNNNNNNNNNNNNNNNNNNNNNNNNNNNNNNNNNNNNNNNNNNNNNNNNNNNNNNNNNNNNNNNNNNNNNNNNNNNNNNNNNNNNNNNNNNNNNNNNNNNNNNNNNNNNNNNNNNNNNNNNNNNNNNNUAAAUUGUAUUCGAAAAAAAUUAUCCAAAAAAGUAACAUAUUUAAAAAGAUAAAAAUAUAUUUUAUUUUUUUAAAAAUGCCACAUAUACAAAAAAAUUUAUGUGGCAGGCAAGUGGACCCACAAUCUUUGCCACAUCAGCGUCUAGAAGGUAGUGGCUCUCAUAAGGCCAAGUUGAGGGGGAGGAGAUAAUUAAGACCACAAAUAAUUUAAGACUGUAAUUACGUGUCAAGUUUAGGGGGUGUUAAGGUAUUAUGCCAUGAUACGUUAAGAAAUAAUAUGUAACAACCAUCCAAGCAAGCUUUCAAUCCAUGCUAAAAUAGUACUAAUAGACAAAAAUUAUCUCUCUUGAAGGUAAAUUUAAAAGAGGGCUCUCAAUUGUCAUUUUGUUCUUCGCUCUCUUAUCCAUCUUUUUCGCUUCCAAUCUUUCCAACAAAAACCCAAUCCCUAUAUCCAAUAGUGCACUUCCUCCCUCUCCAAACCCCUCCCAAAAUGCAACUCAGACCACAAAACUAUUGUAAAAUCCUCCUCCUUGAUAACAAGCCAUGACCACCUGAGUCAGGACUCACCAUAAAUUACCCAUAUGAUUGAGUCACUGUACUCAGCAGCCAGUCGCUCUUUUUCUUUGAACAAUCUGAGAUUUUCUGCCUUUAAACAAUUCAGAUUUGGUAUCUCUUACUUUUCAUUUUCUCCUUCCACGUUUUCCAAGUUUUAUUGCACGGUUUUCCUUAUUAACUUCAGCAUUGCUUGUUUGACCCACCAAUCCACCCUUCCCAUUUUGACCCAUCUUCCUAUUAUAUAAACCCAAUACACCAAAAAACCACAGAGCAUUUUAGAUUCAUUGGUAUCACAACCAUUUUUGGUGAGGACCGGAGAAGAAAU